GAGAGAGAGAGAGAGAGAGAGAGAGAGAGAGAGAGAGAGAGCUAGUCUCCUAUACUAUUUAUAAUAACGGGCCUCUGGUAUUAUAGUCCCAUUUUCGAUUUUAGGGUGUUCAAAUCAACGAUACAUAUCGUUAAAACUGAUUUAGGGUAUUUAAAGUUUUUAGAAAUAAAAUUUUAUAUUUUUUCGACAUAGUUUACUUUAUGAUCAAAUCAUUUCAAAAUUGUCAAUUUUCAAUGGCUACUAUAGCGAGUUUAGAGUUUAACGGUGUAGAAGAAUCUAAAUUUCUUUAAAUUUUGAUAGAAAACACUUUAAACUAUCUAGAUUAAGGUUAACAUUCUUAAUCUUGAAUUUAAAAGUCCUAUACUCAAAUUUUAAAGAUUAUUCGAUUUCCACCGUCCAUUUUGACAUAAUUUAUUUACUAAGUAAACGAUGUCGAAAAAAACUAAAAUUUUUUUCUAAGAACUUCAUAUACCAUAGAUCAUAUUUAAUGAUGUGGAUCGUUAAUUUGAACAUCACAAGAUCGAAAAUAAGACUAUAGUACCGAAGCUCCAGUACUAUAGAUAGUAUAGUAGCAUAAUUCUAUAUAUAUAUAUAUAGGCUAGGGCUACUAUCCUAUUAAUAGGAUAGUAGCACUUGUCCUAUCAAAUUGUUCUUGAUGAUAGAGAUUCCGAAUCAAUGAUCGGAGCCGUUAAAGUUGAUCUAGAGUAUUUGAAAUAUCUAAAAACUAAAUUUUAUAAAUUUUAAAAAUUAUUUACGUGAUGAUCAAAGUAUCGUAAAAUUGACAAUUUUUGAUUGUCUAUAUGAGCCGCUUGCUUGUUUAACGGUGUAGAAUAAUCCAAAUUGGUUGAAUUUUUGAUAGAAAAUUCUUUAUACUAUUUAGAUAAUAUUUGAUAAUUCUGAUCAUGAUUUAAGAAAGUCUAACCUCUAUUUUAAGAAGGUUAUUCAUUUAUGACCGUUCAUUUUUUCGACUCUUCGAUAGACUUGAUAAUGAUUUUCAAAAAUUACAAAAUUCGGUUUUUAAAUAUUUCUUAUAGUGUAGAUCAAUUUCAACGGUGCCGAUUAUCAAUUUGGAGUGUCGAUCAUUCAAAACCAUUUGAUAGGACAAUGGUCCCAAUCCUAUUAAUAGCAUAGUAGCCGGACUCUAUAUAUAUAUAUAUAGUAUGAGGCUACUAUGCUUCUGGAAGCACGGAGCCUUUCGUGCUUUCAGAUCGUUUUCGAUGUUGCGACUUUCAAAUCAUCGAUCGGCUCCGUUAAAUUUGAUCUAGAGUAUUUGAAGUACCUAGAAAUUAAAUUUUAUGAUUUUUCGAUAUCAUUUGCCUAGUGAUCGAAUGGGCUCAAAAUCAAUAAUUUUAAUGGCCGUAGUGAACCGUUUGCAAGUUUAACGGUGUAGAAAUAUCCAAAUCACGUGAAAUUUUGAUAGAAAAUUUUUUAUACUAUAUAAAACAAGAUCAAUAUCUUUAGUCUAAAAUUUUAAUGUCAUAUUAUCACGUUUUGUAAGAUUUUUAUUUUUAACUGUUGAUUUUGAGUUCCUUCGUUCACUAGGCAAAUAAUAUCGAAAAAUCGCAUAAUUUAUUUUCUGGGUACUUCAAAUACUCUAAAUCAAGUCUAACGGAGCCAAUCGACGAUUCGAAAGUCGCAACAUGAAAAAUGACCUGGAAGCACGGAAGGCUCCGUGCUUCCAGAAGCAUAGUACCCUCACUCUAUAUAUCUAUAUAGAGUGCGUUUGGUAUGCUUCUGGAAGCACGGAGCGUUCCGUGCUUCCAAUUUGUUUUUGAUGUUCGGACUUUCGAAUUGACGAUCGGCUCCGUUAGACUUGAUCUAGAGUAUUUAAAGUAUCUAGAAAAUAAAUUUUGUGAUUUUUCGAUAUCAUUUGCCCAGUUAUCGAAGUCGCUCAAAAUCAACGGCUGAAAAUAAAAAUCUUACAAAAUAUGAUGAUAUGGCAUUAAAAUUUUAGAUCAAAGUUAUUGAUCUUGUUUUAUAUGGUAUAAAGAAUUUUCUAUCAAAAUUUCAUGUGAUUUGGAUAUUUCUACACAAUUAAACUUGCAAACGACUCACCACGUUGAUUUUGAGCCCCUUUGAUCACUAUGCAAAUGAUAUCGAAAAAUCGCAAAAUUUAUUUUCUAGAUACUUCAAAUACUCUAGAUCAACUCUAACGGAGCCGAUCGUCGAUUCGAAAGUCCGAACAUAGAAAACAACUUGGAAGUACAGAGGGCUCCAUGCUUCAAGAAGCAUACCAGCCCAUUAUGUAUAUAUAUAUAUAUUUAUAUAUAUAUAUAGAGAUCGGCUGGGAUACUAUCGAUAGCACUAAGGAUUUGGUGCUAUCGAGUUUUUCACCGUUAGAUUUAACCCUUUAAUUAUUUUUACAUGUUGGAUUAUACUAUUCAACCAACCACUCACUCAACCCUACAUCAUCGUAACCACGCAUUUCUCAAUCCAAUGGUUAAAAAAUGAAUAGCACCAAUAGCUUGUUGCUAUUGAUAGUAUUCCAGCCUAGUUAUAUAUAUAUAUAUAGAGAGAGAGAGAGAAAGAGAGAGAGAGAGAGAGAGAGUCCGGCUACUAUGCUAUUAAUAGCACGAAGCACUUGGUGCUACCAAGUUUUCCGCCGUUAGAUCUAUCAUUUUGAUCAUUUUCACCCGUUAGAUCAUACUAUUCAACCAACCACCCACUCAACCCUAGAGAGCCCACAUCAUCCUAACCGCACAUCUCUUAAUCCAAUGGCCAAAGACUUGGUAGCACCAAUGACUUGGUGCUAUUAAUAGCGUAGUAGCCUAGUUCUCUCUCUCUCUCUCUCUCUGUAUAUAUAUAUAUAUAUAUAUAUAUAUANGAAUGUAAAAUUUAUAGCUACUUUUGAAUAUACAGAUAGCAGCGCGCUUCUUAUAAAUAAUAUCCUUUUCUUCGAAAAAUUUUCAAUGACUAAUUAUUGGCUAGUUAAUAUAUUUUCAUAACUUUAUGUUUUUAAGUAAACAUUUUAAAUAUUAGACAUCAAAUCUUGAAAUGAAAUCUAUAUCUAUAUCUAUAUUUAAAUUUCGAUCUUCUAUCUAUUUAUAUAUAUAUAUAUAUAUAGAAAGAGAGAGAGUUGAGCUAGAUUACUCUCAAAAGCACCAUAAAGGUCGGAAAGAGUUUCACAAAUUCGAACACAUUUUAACUUAUUUAGGGACUAUACAGCGAUCAUCACUUGUACAGGCUUUAGCAUUCCAAAUACGACCACACGCAUUAAUUACUACUAACUAACUACCAAAAGUAGAAAGCUAAUGAGGAUCUCCUGAUUAACUAGCCCAGGCAUUUAAUAAUUAAACUGAUACCACUGCAAAUAUUACAUCAUAGUUUUAUAAAAAAUUUGAAAACGUGAUUCUUUAUAUAUUCGCAGGUGUUAAAAUCAACGAUCCGAAAUUUCUAAAAUAGGGUGUUAUUGAAACAAUUCAAGAUUUAUAUUUUUAAAACUCAUAACUUUUUAUACAUAUAUAUAUAUAUAUAUAUAUAUAUAUAUAUAUAUAUAUAUAUAUAUAUAUAUAUAUAUAUUAUUUGUUGGAACUGUACGUUCAAACUUUUAUUUCUAAACUUCCAUCGUUAAAUUUGACCUUGAGUAAAAUUUUUAUAAUUUGGAAAAAAAAUAUAAUUUCAUGCAUACCUUCUCUGUGGGGCGCCGUUACCGCGACGGUUGGUACGGUUGGAAGUUUUAUAAAAUAGGAUCUUUGGCCCCGCACUUAAUUUAACGACUUAGUUGAACUUAAAAAAGAAUUAAUUAUCGGAUUUACUACAACAAAAAUAGUCUAUAGCGACACUUUUAAAUAUAGGUACAUGUCAAAAAAAAUGCUGCUAGCUAAAAUUACCGACACUUUUAAAAAGUGUUGCUAUAUGUGGGAUCGCUAGGUAUAUAGUGACAGUUAAAGAGUGUCACUAUAACCUAAAAAAAUGUUGCUAAUUUACCAACACUUAUUUAAAUAUUUAACAACCGCCGAAACUCUAUCUCGUUGGCUGCGGUGGCGGAGGAGGACGACAGGAAAGGCUCUUCGUUUAGAAUUUCAGUGGAUUAAGUGAAGAUAGAAGAAAAGAUGGUAAUUGAUUUUUCUUUUUUUUUUUCUUUUCAGUUUGUAAUCGGGCCAAAUGGACUGGGUGUGGUGGGUUGAGUAGAGUAAUCUUUUAUUUUUUGUUGGAUUAGGCUUUAUAUUUAGGCAUUAGUAGAUGCUUUUUUAAAUUUUAGCAUAAAUGGGACACUUUCUCAAAAGUGUCCCAAACAUGUGUCCCUAUAAUCUAAUUCUGUUGUAGUGAUUGUGUCGGCUCCAAAUUAACCUCUCCUCUGGCUAGCGAAUUUUUGUCUUUUUUUUUUUGAAAAAAGAAAUAACUAAAAUUAACUAUUUGUGCACGAAGAACCCGGGAAUCUGAAUAUAUAGGGAUAUUUCGGUGUGAACGCAAAUGUUCUUUGCCACCAAUAGUGAUGGUUGGGUUUGCUUCGAGUGGAAGGAUCUUAUAGACUUUUUAAUCAUUUAAUUAAUUAUUAUUAACACAUCACAAACAAAUUAAGAAAAGAAUGAAAAGAGAAAGAAGAAGAAGAAAGAUUCUAUUUGUCAACUCAAAAAAAACAAAGAUGCAAGAUAUACACCUUAUAUUAGAAUGUAGCAAUGACAUUAAUUGCUCAAAAGAAAAAGAACAGUGUCUAUUGUUCUAUCAUCCACGAUCUUGAAUUAAGUGGAAAAAAAAAUUAGUUGAGUCUCGAAGAUUUGGUUAUGAAGAACAGUUCGCUUAUAAUUGUAAUUAGAGAGAAUUUACGUGAACUCAUCAUUAAUUUGCUCUAAAUGGCUAGCAGUUUUCCCACCGAUCUUGUGGCAUUGCUCGGAGUGAUCACUAGAGUUUCACAGAUAGCGCUUCGAAGACCGUGCACCACACACCUCAACCAAUAGACCAUAUUUUAUGCUUAUACUAGCGUAGUAACCCGUGCGAUACGACGGAUAGAUAAUUAAAAAAAAUAUAGAAAAUAUCAAUAAAAAAAAAGAAAAGAAAACGGCGAUAAAAAAAGCGAUAAUGAGGGGAGGGAUUCAUUUUGCCGUUGAACGAAAAUAAUAUACCACUUGUCACGGGGUUAGCUUUUUCGCCUUGAAAACCACCGCGCGGCGCUCAAGUGUCGUACACCCGAGCCAGCCUUCUCGAGUCCUCUCCACGGACAAGUCUCCCAGACUUAACAGCGGAAUACCAAUUCAAGCAUUUUGCCAAGCUUGCUCCUCCGCGAGACUUACAACCCGACUCUUCGCUUGUAAUCGAACCCCUCGUCGGACUCCUCGAGUUCCCAACGAGCAACCCCAAUACCGAGGUUGGCCACCAAGCUAGGUGCAUCCCGUCUUGCCAACCGAUCUCUCCUCGAGAGUGCUUCAUAACCGAAUGCCUUGUUGCCUUCAUCACUAGCCCCAAGGACAUUACAAGUUCUCCCCAACUUGUUCCAUUAUGAGUCUAGCCAAGCGUCUCGCCUCCCAUGCGUUUCGCUCCCGUGACUUAAUUCGCACGCCUCUAGCGUUAAGGUCCGGGCUUCGCAACAUCGCAUGCCACGAAGGGCACUCAUAAACAUAUGUUCCACACCAUCGUGCCUCAGGCGCCUGACAACGUCCAUGGCCAUACGCGGCUUGGAUCUCUGUAGUGGAGCGUACGAGCGGAUGAGGGAUAGUCUAGCGACGGAUUGUCCUCUGUAAAGGACAAGGCUCGCGAAGGCAAGUGUGCCGAGUGGGGAUUCGUGGGGCGCGGCGCCCACGAAGACCAAGAAGGCGGGACUCAAUAGGAGCGCUAAAGGGAGGCACGCCAAGGGAGAAUUCGUAUCGAGUGGAGCACACUCAAAAAUGAAGGAAAAGUUGCCAUGUGGCAACUUUAGAAGAAAUAAUAUAUAAAAAAUAAAUAAAAGAAUAAAAUAAAAAAUAUAUAUGAUUGAUAAUUGAAGUUUUUUUUUUCGAAUUAUUAUAAUUAAUUAACAUGUAAUGCAAGUUGGCCGAAUAACGAAUGAUAUGAAUCAAUUGGUCUGGUUCUUUCUAAUAAAGCAGUCUGGUUCAAGCAAAGGAAGAGGGCACCAGUUUGGUUCAGGUAAACAAAAAACAGGGAAUAUGAGCUGGUUUAGUGUAAAGGCUUCACUCAACCAUGUUUGGUUCAAGCAAAAAAAUGUGAAAUUAUUUGGAGAGCUUGAGCCGGUUCAGGAUGGGACUCAUACUCGACAAUUCGGUUCGGUUCAACUAAAGGAAAAGAACCGGUGGAGCCCACACCCCACAACAUUGAAGCUUGUGUUGCCAUGUGGGAAGUUUUUUGAGAAAUAAUGUAAAGUAAUAGAUAAUAGAUAAUAGAUAAUAGAUACUCCCUAUUAUUUAUUGAUUUAGAAAGUAUUAAUUGUUUAUUGUCGUUAAUUAAGGAAUUUUAAAGUUGAAAAUGCUUCUUAAAACUAAAAUUUUAAUGUAUGUUUGUAUGUCGAAAUAAGUUAUUUGAUAAUAACUUAUUCUUUAUGUGGAUUUUCUAUUGUGAUUAUAAAAAAGAAGCUUGAUUAUUGGUUCUUAUAAAGCGUUGAUAUUUAAAAUUUAUUUGGAUAAUAUAUUUCAUCUACAAGGUGGUUUAUUUUAAUCAAUUUUUUUUCUUUUGGAGGAUUUUAUAUGCUUUUCUAUUUUAAACAUUUGACCAUACUUAUAGCUUUCAAUCACAAUAGAAAAUUUUCAUAUCGAAUAGAGUAUAUAUCAGUGAAUAUCUUAUUUCAAUAUCGAAACAGAACUUCAAAGUAAAUUUCUAUUGAAAAAAUAAAAUUUCUAUGAAAUGAUCCACGUCUCAUGAGGAGACACAUGUCCCCUCAAACCCUCCUUUACUCUCUCUUUCUCUCUCUCUCUCUCUCCCUCUCUCUCUCUCUCUAUAUAUAUAUAAUUUUAAAUUUUGAUAUCAAAAUUUAAAAUUUUAAUAUUUUAAAAUUUUAAAAUUUUAAAUUUUGUAUUUUAUAUUUUAAAUUCUAAAUUUCAAUUUCAACUUAUAAUAUUUAUUUCAAAAUUUUAAACUUUGAAAUUUAAAAUUUUAAAUCUCUAAACUCUAUGAAAUUAAUUAAUUAAUUUUAUUAAUAACUCAUUACAUAUAAUAUAAUUAAUUAAUUUUAUUAAUAAUACUAGUAAUAAAUCGCGUAAUAAAAUCUAAUCUAAUAGAUGCAAUUUAAAUCAGGUAAAAUAUCGCUGUAUAAAAAAAUACAGUAUUUAAAUUUCUCGAGUAAAAUUUUACAAAUAUAGUGUAUUUGUGUGUAUAUAUAAUUAAUUUUACUAAACAAUUUCUUCUACAAUUUUAUUUUUCUUCUAUUUAUUGAGUUUUUUUAAAAUUAUUUUGAUACAUUUAUCUCAAAUUCUUCAAAUAUAAAUCUUUAUAAAAUAAUUUAUUGUAUAAAUUUACUUUGCGCAUAUACCAAUUUUAAUAACUUUUAUUUAAAUAGAUUUAACUAUUAAAUUAUUUUUAUAUAACUUUUAUUUAAUUAAUAAUUAAACUUGUGUAUUGCUUUUAUGCUAUCGGAAGCAUAAAGUAGUUGGUGUUUCUGAUUUUUUCGCCCUUAGAUCAAAGAUUCUAUAUAAAUCUUUAUAAAAUCUUUAUAAUAUAAUUCUUCAAAUAUAAAUCUUUAUAAAAUAAUUUAUUGUAUAAAUUUACUUUGCGCAUAUACCAAUUUUAAUGACUUUUAUUUAAAUAGAUUUAACUAUUAAAUUAUUUUUAUAUAACUUUUAUUUAAUUAAUAAUUAAACUUGUGUAGAGCUACUAUACUAUCGGAAGCAUAAAAUAGUUGGUGCUUCUGAUUUUUUAGCCCUUAGAUAAAAGAUUUUAUGGUUGGGAUGAUAACGGUCCCCUUAAGGUUGAGUGGUUUUCAGUGAUUAAUAAUAUUAAUCCAAUGAUUAGAAAUGAUCAAUUGGUUUGAUCUAAGGGCUAAAAAAUUAAAAUCAACAACCACUUUAUUCUUCCGAUAGCAUAGUAGCUCCACUUAUUAAACUUAUAAAACUAUAUAAAAAUAUUAAAAAUAAAAUUUAUUAUAAAAUAUUUUUAUAUCUGCAGCAUCGUACGGAUAUUUUACUAGUAAGCACAACGAGUGCUGCCUACGUAGGACCUGGAUCCUUCUGGAAAGUAUUCAUUUUUUAAAGUAAACAGAAUUGGUCGGCUCCAAUUAAAAGCACCGUUCCAGCUGCACACAUUUCCGUUGAAAGCGAGAUUCGUGCACGCAUUGAUCACAAGCUAAUUAAUAAGGUAAAUUAUACUUUCGUGUUCAAACGGUGAGUCGGGUUAUCCUUCGGUUCAGGAAGUAUCAGUCACGUGGUAUUUUUAAUAUUUUAAUUUUUAAAUUAAUUUUUUUUGAUUACUUUUAGCUUUUUGAAUUAAUAUUAUUUUUUUUAGAAGGCUAUCAAAAUCUUAAGAGGGAUAUUAUCAUCCCAACUCUGUAAUUUUUGAACUAAUUAAUGACCAAUAAAUCAAAAGCACGAAUUAUUUUAUACUUCUGAAAGUAUAGUAUACAUAUAUAUAUAUAUAUAUAUAUAUAUAGAGAGAGAGAGAGAGAGAGAGAGAGAGAGAGAAACUAAGCUCCUAUAUUUUUAAAAAUACUAAAUUAUUGAUACUCGUAGAUUUUUCGUCUUUGGAUUAAGAGAUGUGCGAUUACGUUCUCUAGGGUUGAAUGGAUGAUUGGUUGAAUAGUAUGAUCUAAUGAAUGUAAAUGAUCAAAGAGAUAAAUUUAACAGAAGAAAAUUACAAGUAACAAGUGCUUGAUAUUACUGACCGUUCCUAGAGCAAGUGACAAAGGGCUUGAUGGUUGGUAUCGGAGAUCUCAAGUUCGAAUCCUAAUUAAUUCACAUUUCAAACUAAAUUUAUUUCUAAAUAAAAUAAACGAAACGGAUAGCGUGCUAUCUAUUUCUCAAAAAAAAAAGAAGAAAAUGGCUUGAUACUUUUAGAAGCACCAUAACUGGACUCUAAAUGUAUAUUAAAAAAAACAUAACCGGGCUCUACAUAUAUUAAAAACACCAUAGUCGGACACUCUCUCUCUCUCUCUCUCUCUCUCUCUCUCUCUCUCUCUCUCUCUCUCUAUAUAUAUAUAUAUAUAUAUUCCUACUGGGAUACUAUCGAUAGCAUCAAGCGUUUGGUGCUAUCAAAUUUUUCGCUGUUAAAUUUAACCAUUUAAUUAUUUUUAUCCGUUAGAUUAUACUAUUAAACCAAUAAGUCACUCAACCCUAGGGGGGCCAUAUCAUUCUAAUCGUAUAUUUUUUCAUCCAAGGGUCAAAAAUCUAAUAGCACCAAUAGCUUGGUGCUCUUUAUAGUAUUCCAACCUAAUUCAUUUAUAUUAGGAGUAUUUAUUUGUUUUUGCUAUUAUUCGGUGGUGGGACCGAUAUUUGCCGCUCCUCACCUUGGCGGCGGCGGCGGGGCCGUUCGUGUCUCUCUCACUCUCCUUCUCUUUUUCGGGCCGAGUCCCCAAUCCUUCUUAUCAUCUUAAUUCUUAAACCGACACACAUUAUUAUUAUAUUAAAAAAAGGUGUGAAGCCCUUUUUGUAAUUUCGCGCACUAAAAUCCUUCGCGUGACCUCUUAGUAGGUCGAAGAAUUUGACCGCUAAGAAAAGGGUGUGAAACAACCCCUCUUUGUACUUUCGCGCACUAAAAUCCUUCGCGUGACCUCUUAGUAGGUCGAAGAAUUUGACCCGCUAAGAAAAGGCACUAAAAUCCUUCGCGAAAGGAACUAAAAUCCUUCACGGCCUCUUAGUAGGUCCAAGAAUUUGAUAGCUAAGAAAAGGGUGUAAAACAAUCAUUAUACUCUAAAAAUUUAAGCUGUUAUAAAACGGUGUUUAAACUUUUGUAUAUUUAACACUUCCGCUCGAGGAAAUUAAUAUGCUAGGAACCUGGCGUGAUUCGAAUUCAAGACCUCCUGCUCUGAUAUCAUGUGAAACAACCGUUGUACUUUAAAAGUUUAAGCUGUUAGAGAACGGUGUUUAAAUAUUUUUACAUUUACCAAAGGGUGCUUAGCAAACGAAUUGUCCCCUUACUAAAGCAAAAAUAUUUGUCAAUAAUUAAUUCAAAGUAUCAAGCAAGUGGCACAUCUCUUAAACCAAAUAUUAAUUAAACAAAUACCCUAAUUCUCGGAUAGUGGCCGAGGUAAUUGUACAACAUCGACUCUCCAUUAAUACCCUGUAAAACAAAUAUUAAUUUAUUCACGUUUAAUUUAGAGACUGAUGCUGAGGCACCGGCCCUAAGGGAGUGGUUCGAUGUCUUGAAAAAGCAUGAAAAUUAAACUAUUUUUCAGUUUUUUUUUUUUUUUUUUUUUUUUUUUUUUUUUUUUUUUUUUGUGUGUGGAGAACAUUUUUUUUUCUAACCAUUUUUUCGGAUAAAGAGUUCGGAGAGCUCAAACAGCUCAUUUUAUCAUUGGAUUUGAAAUUUUGUUUCUAAAAGAUACUAUUUUUUAAUAGGAAUCAAUAUAAAAAAAAAAAAACUUUUUCAAUUAUAAAACUCUUUUUUGAGAUAUGCGGUAAAAGAAAGCAUCGCACGAGUGUUGGCUAUUAGGUCAACAUUUCUGUCAUGUCUAGAAGACUAAUAAGUUGAGUUGGCUGAGCCCAAUAAGUUGAGUGAGGUUAUGGUCGAUAAUUGACCUAACAGUAAAAGGUCCGAUAAAUAAAUCUAACAUUCAGAUGCAUUGAGUCAGAUUGAAACUCAUAAAUACCGUCAUUGAGUUUUUAAAUGUGAUCGUUGCGAUCGGCAUGUAUUUUUGAGAUAAUAGGUUAGUCCUUUUGCAGCGGACGGAACAUCACACGUGGCGCUAUGUUCAUUAAUUGUAUUAAAUUAUAGAGAAUAAUGAAGCCCACGCAUUUAUAUGGUGAGCAUUUGUUUAAUCUUAAUUACAAUCUUAAGCAAAACUCAUUGUAACGCAUGAGCAACAAAGUAAGCUCUCGGAUGCUGAUCACAGCAUCAAGCACAAUCAGAAAUGUAAUCAACCAAAAUUGGCGCAUAUAUAUCAUAGUUUACAGUGACAUAUAUGCAACUAGUGAAAAUUUAAACUAGGUAAGUGACUAAUAUUUAUUAUCUAAUCUUAUUUAAAAAAUAUCACGGCAAAUAACUAAAUUUUAAAUUAUUUUAUAAAUUCCUACAAAGAAGUUUUUGAUUAAUUUACUUUUAAAAGAUAAAAUUUUAAAAAAUAUUCUUGCGCACUGCAGGGGUUGCUGACUAGCAUAAAGCUAUUACUUGAUAUACAAAGCCAAUUUCAAAAAUCAAUUAAAGAAAUAAAAUUUAAACAAUUUAAUCAACAAGGUACACAUAUUAAUUAUAAAAUUCAAAUAUUCAAACCAACAAAACCAAACGGAAAUCAAACUGUUGGUUUAGGUUUUAGCAUUAUUAAUAAAAUUUAAUAACUUUUUAAAUUGAAUAAGGCCAGUUCAAUUCUAAUUUAUGAACAAACCAUAAGCAUGCACGUCGCUAAGGAUGUAAAACGGGCAGCGGCCCACAACUACUGGCGGAAUUAAGGCAUAGUUAGGGACAUGUCAACGAGUCGAAUUUGGAAUGGAUUAUCAAAAUCCCGAAUCUCAACCCGACAAGCAAAUCCGAAAUUUGAAUUCGAACAAAGAUGAAUUUUGAAAAUCCAUAGCAAAGACUGAACCCAACCGACAAGUCUGAAACGCAAACCCAAAUCUAAGCUCGAAAUGAUUAUUUCUCUUUAGUAUAUUUUCCAUCAUAUUUCAUUAAAUUUUAAACAUUUUUAAAAUACAAUUUCAAAUAAAACACAAAAAAUUUUAAAAAAUUUCAAAAUAAAAAUUCUAAACUUGUUCCGAUUUGGGGACAACCGGGCAAGUUUGUUUGAGAAGAAGGGUGGAACAGCUAUUCCACGCAAAAAAUAAUGUGGGGGAUAUAAGGAGAGGAAUAAGGAUUCAUUCCCCUCCUUAUAUCUGAACCAAACGUUACCUACGGUUCAGUAGGCGGUUAGUUGAAUAAAAUGAUUUAAUGAGUGGAAAUAGCCAAGGGAUAGAUUUAACGGAUGAAAAUAGUCAAAUGAUAGAUCUAACGGUGAAAAACUUGGUAGCACGACACGGUUGGUACUAUAAUGUAAAAUUAAUUCGAGUUCAGUUAGCAUACAAAUAAUUUUACAAGCAAUGGUGUUUUAUUGUUACAUAUUUUAUGCAUUCAACGUGUUGCCACUUUCAAAAGUUUACAUUUGUCGAUUUCAAACGUCUUAUAUUUUCAUUAUGUGAAAAUAUAAGACGCGCGCCAAACUGAAAAUGCAUAAAUCCACAGAAAAUUUUUUUUCCUAUACAAAUUGUAUUAACUACGAAUUAAUCUCUACAACAUCCAACAAGCACAAACAAUACCUGAAAUUUUUUUAAGAAAAUUGUUAAAACGGUCCGGGCCACCCUUGGGCCGCCCAGCCUGGCAUGGCUUCACUCCUUAGGCCCGAACUUUCGGGUCGUACUGGGCCUCACUCUUUAGGCCCGAUGGUCUGGUACGACCCGACACGAAACAUGCCUGGACCGUGCCAGGCCGAGGAGAGCCCGUGGCCCGGCACGGCGCUGCCAACUUGGUCCGUGCCAGCCGGGCCAGCACGGUCCGAACCUCAUGGCCCAAGGCAAGUUGCCUUGGGCCUAGGGGGUCCGAUCUCUUGGGGAGAAGGGCUUGGCGCUCUCUUCCCAAUGUCUGAAGUGGUAGACUUUGGAAGGAGUGAUUUUUGGUCCAAUGGACCAAACAAUUUUGGUCCAUUGGACCAAAAACUCUUUUUUUUUCAAUAAUAAUAAUAAUAAUAAUAAUAAUAAUGUAUAUACUUUUUUAAAAAAUUAAAAAAUUAUUAUUUUAUAAUUAAUUUAAUUAAUAAAUUUUAAAAUUUUUAACUAAAAUAUUAAUUUAACUAAAAAUAAAAUACUUUUAUUUUAAAAUUUUAAUGCAGGAGUCUGCUGAGACGUCAUCGAUCCGCCUACGUCUGCAGGCCGAGGCCUAGGCCCCGCCAUCACAGGCUGCAGCAUGGUUGCGCUCAGUAUCAUCAUCAUCAUCAUCAUCAAAGCGAAGGCGAUGAGGAUGUUCACCUGCAGCAGCAGGGGCCAUUGUAGAGGGAAUGCGAACGAAUUAUUAGUAGUUGCAGUAGCAGCAGAGAGAGAGAGAGAGAGAGGAGGCUUAACGUGCACUUGUAGGAGAAUUUAGGCAAUGCUGGGGGGUUUAUAUAAGCAGACAUUGUAAGUAAGCUUGUAGGCCUAUCAAAAUUUAACACAGAUCGACUUACUCUUUAAUCUUGAUUGGUUUAAAGAAACCAGCAUUCUGUUAUAUAUAUAUGUAGCGCAAGUUUGGAUUAAAUGACAUGAGGCUGAUGGACCGAGUCAUAAUCGUGAUUCGUGGACGCUGUGUUUUCACGCUGUGAAUAGAUUAAUUAUGUAUUACUAAUCGUUCGAAUUUUUGAUAUUAAUGAUUAGCGCUGAUGAUCCGACGGCCUUAAUCUAAAGAAUAUAUAUACUUUUGUGACCAAUGGGGUAUAGGAGUUUCGGAGAACUACUUUGAGACCUUUUAUUAACCUGGAGAAUUAAAUAUAUACAUUCCAAAAAGUUUAACCAACUCAAAAGGUUGACCUGUUCAUCACGGCACUAAUAUUUUUUUAGAGACCAACAUCUAGCAUUAUGUACACCGAGGGGCCCAGGCUCAAAACCAACUCGAUCAUUCAUGUCCAUAGACUCCAUACACAGUCCACGAUAUGAGAAAAAACAAAUUGAAAAAGUAGAGUGGAUCCUUCACAGCCCGGAUUCCUCCACAUGAGGAACCAAUUGAAACAAAAAGUAAUUAAGGAGAUGCGUCCUUCAACAGCCCACAAUCCUCCCCCUGAGAAAAAAAGAUUGAAAUAUAAAGUACAUCCUUAAACCGUCCAAAAUCCUGCAAAAGAAAAGAGAAAUUGAAAUAAAAAGUAGAUCCUUCAACAAUCCAACUAAUGCCAUGUCUAAUCUUAGUGGGAAAAAAAUAUUUUCAAUCUAACUAUCUUUUUAAAAAGUUUCCUAACUAAGCUUCAUUUGGAUGGAUAAAGAAAGAAAAAAUAACUAAUCAAUAUUUAUGUAUUAACUGGGGGAGAGAUUUUUUUUUUAUUUUUUUAUUUUUUUUGUCUCCUCCGCUCUCCAAGGCCACCACACUGCUUCUCUCUCUCUCUCUCUAUCUCUCUCUCUCUCUCUCUCCACCCACACACACUCUCUCCUCCCCACAUACUAAUAUUUAAUAAUAACUAAAAAUAAUAUUUAAUAAUAAUAAUAAUAAUAAUAAUAAUAAUAAAUAUUAUUAUUAUUACUAUAUAAUGAUUUAUGAGUGUGAAAUAAGUUUCUACUAAGUUAAAAUUAUAUGACGAGCAGAGCGCGACUCUCGGCUCAGAGUAGCGAGAUGAUCCUCGUAUCGUCUGAUACUUGUAAAUAUACAUUAGUGUGACAAGAGCGUCAAGAUUUAAGAGGAAGAGAAUGUGAUAUACUACGAAUUUGAAAUUGCCAUAUAUAUAUAUAUAUAGGCUAGGGCUACUAGCAGAGAAGAAGCUAUAUGGAGAAGCCCAAGGUGGCCAUGGCCCUCUCAACUUUUCAAUAUUUGUUUAAUGGUUCUUCAAAGUUUUUUUUUUUGGACCAUAGAUAGCUUUGGCCCCCCUCAGCUUUUCAAUAUGUGUUUAAUGGCCCUUCAAAGUUUUUUUUUUUUUUUUUUUAAAUUUUUAUUUAUCUUAGGUGAGCUCUUUUAUUUGACUAAAUCAAUAAUUGCACUAAAUUUAAUAGUUAUGUUAAUUUUAUUUACAAAAAAAUUAAGAAAUUACUAUUAGAUUUAGUAAAAUUUCUAAGUUAUUUUAAUAUAAUAAUAUAAAAAUAAUAAUUAGAAGUUAAACAUACGAAAGUAAAAAACAUAAAGUUCAUUCUUUUAUAUUAUUUAUUUAAUAAAAAAUUUUUAAUUAGAAAAAAAAAAUUGUUUAUUAUUUAUUACUAAAGUUUCUAAUUAAAUAUAUUUUGGCCCUCCUCAAGAUUGAAUUCUAGCUUCGUCCCUGGCUACUAUACUCUUAUGAGUGUAGAACUGUUUAUACUUAUAAAUUUUUAACCAUUGGAUGAAGAGAUGUGCGGUUAGAAUAAUAGUAGUCUCCGAUUAAGAUGAUAGUGAACCCCUAGGAGUGAGUGGGUGGUUGGUUGAAUAGUAUAAUCUAACAGAUAAACGUGGUUAAAAGAGUAGAUCUAACGGCCGAAAAUUUAUGAUUACAAAGAGACCUAUACUCAUAACAGUAUAGUAGCCCGACUCUCUCUCUCUAUAUAUAAGUAUAAUUAAUACAACUAGAGCUUUUAAUUCAAUUAUAAUAUUCUAGCGAUAGUUAAGCCUAAGAGAUUAAGAGAUUUGAAUGAGUCUAAAAUUAGAGUAUAAUUAGAGGUGUCGCAAAUUUAGAUAACAAAGCAGUUAAUUAAACCUCAGUGGAGGUGGGACAUGCAUGUAACAUGUUGAGCAGCAUAAAUUCUUUAUACCUAAUCCGCCUUAGCAUCCAAGAGCUUAUUUUAAUUGCGCAUGGACAGCAUUGACUUUUCACCUGAGAAUCUGAGACUCCAACACUAAACAAAAGGCCUCUAUCUAUACAUGAAUGAGGGCUCCAUUGUUCUCAUAUAAUUAAUUAAGUUAAUACAAUGAACACAACACCUCAAAUGGUUCUUUAUUCCCCCACUUGUAACACCUGCAACUCUUGGUGAGCACCUGGGGGGAAAAGCUGUCAUAAUUAAGUGCUGGUGCAAAUUGAAUAAAUAUAUUAAUCUGCGUCAUCAUUUUGUGGGCCUCGGAGUAACACUCUAUAUAUAGGAUCCCCAUGGUACUCCUAGAAGUCGUUUUGGAAACUAAUAUAUUAGCAAGAAAUUAAAGAUCGAGCACAAUAACUUGGUAGCUUUUUAACCCCUUUGAACCUCUAUGGAGGCAGUUAGCCUUUUUCCAUGCCCCAAAUUAAAUAAUAAUAAUAAUAAAUCUAAUUAUUAUAGUUAAAUAGUGCGUGUCAACAUAUAGUGAGGCAUUAAGUGCCCAAGUCGACAGAGAGAUCAACUAUAUAUAUAUAUAUAUAUAUAUAUAUAUAUAUCACUAUAAUAAAAACGGUAUAUAGCGACACUUUUAAAUAUCGGUAUAAGUUAAAAAAAGUGCUGCUGGCUAAGUUACUGACACUUUUUAAAAGUGUUGUUUUAUGUGAAGUCGCUAGGUAUAGAGUGACACUUUAAGAGUGUCGGUAUAACUUAAAAAGAAUGCUGCUAAUUUACCAACACUUAUUUAAACAUUUAUCAACCAUCGGAACCCUACCUCAUCGACUACGGCGCGGAGGAGGAGGAGUGCGAGGGGCUAUUCUUCUAUGGUUUCAAUAGAUUGAGUGAAGGGAGAAGAAAAAAUGGUGAUUUAUUUUUCUUUUUUGUUUGUAAUCGGGACGAAUGGGCUGGGUGGGGUGGGUUAAGUAGAGUAAUAUUUUAUUUUUGGCUGGAUUGAGCUUUAUAUUUAGACUUUGGUAGAAUUUUUAAAAGUUUUGGCAUAAAUGGGACACUUACACAAAAGUGUCAUAGAAAUGUGUCGCUAUAACCUAAUUCUGUUGUACUACAUAUAUAUAUAUAUAUAUAUAUAUAUAUAUAUAUAUAUGUUUUAUGCUUAUAUAGCAUGCAUGUGUUGUUUAUUCUAUGUGGUUGCAAAUGUUAAUAUUUGUGUAGCAUAUUGUGAUUGUAUGAUUGUUUAUUUUUUUGGGGACAUUAAUACUUGUGUUCUUUCGAUAUUUUUCAGCAAAAUUUAAUUUUGAAAAAAAAGGAUUGGACGUGUGCAGCUUUACUGUAAAUUUUUUUUUUUUUUUUUUUUGAAGUAUAUCUUUAUAGUAAUGUAGAAGAUUUUAUUUUACAAAAGUAAAGAAAUAAUUACGAUCACGUAAUGUAAUGUGUUUUGUCGUAAAGCAAAGUUUUAAUAUUUCGAUUCAUUUCGAUGGGUCGGCCCAACCUUUUCAAAGGGCUGAGGCCCUAAGCUCCACAUUAACCCUAGUUAGUUAAUAUGAUGAAUUAAUUUUUUUAUUCCUCUUUAAUUAAUAAUUAAAAUUUUUGGAGGAAUAUAUUUGUGAUGGCGAAAAAAUUAUUUCACUUAUAAAAUAAACCAGAGGGACAUAAUUGAAAACAUUAGGAUUUUUGUAGAAAUUAUAUAUAAAAGUUGAACUUUGUAGGGAUAUAUUUGUAAUUUACUAUAUUUGUAGGGACCUGCAUGAAAUUAAUCCAAUAUUAAAAUAUCAUUAUUUAUGAACUUAGGUUUUUAGAGUAACUAUUUGCUUACUGGUAUUAAAGUUAAACUCUUUAAUAUUCAAAAUUUUUUAGUAAAGUAGUGUUAUUGACCAAGUGGCAACAUUGGGNUAUAUAUAUAUAUAUAUAUAUAUAUAUAUAUAUAUAGAACUAGGCUGGAAUACUAUUAAUAAUACUAAGCUAUUGGUGCUAUUAGUUUUUUAUCCCUUGGAUUGAGAAAUGUGCGGUUAGGAUAAUGUGGGCUCCCUAGGGUUGAGUGGGUGGUCUGUUGAAUAGUACAAUCUAACGGAUAAAAAUAAUCAAAGAAUUAAAUCUAAUGGUGGAAAACUCGAUAGUAUCCCAGCUGGACUAUAUAUAUAUAUAUAUAUAUUACAGUAUAAGCACAAAUUAUUGAUUGUUUGUUAUUGGUUAAAAUAUAUCAAACUUUUUGUCUCAUAACGAUAAAUUCAGAAAACUAAUAAGUUGAAUUGGAUAGUCCCAUAACUUGACUUGAGCUACGGUCAAUAAUAAAGCUAAUGGCAAGAUAUCCAACAAUAGAACUAACUUUCAGAUGAGUUUGAGUCAAAUAGAAGUCGAUCCGUAAGCGUUGCGAUUGAGCUCUUAAAUAUAAUGGAUGGUGUCCUUUCUAUCAGCACUUAUUUUUGGGAAAGUUGGUGGGCGUUUAUGAUCCACACAAAGCCACUAAUUUGGUCCUUAACAUCAUAUAUAUUCCUCCUUAAACGUACCUAGUUUCUUGUAACUCUACACUUACGCAUCUUUGACUUUUGUGAGUCCCGGUUCUUCGUUGGUUUAAUCAAACAGCUCAUCAUCAACUAUGGCACCAAAGUAAAAAGAAAGGUAAUUAAGUUCAGAAACUUACUUCUUUACGUAAGGUUAUGGAUCAAAUUGCAAUUUCAUCAAAAGUUCAAGUACUGUUAUGACAAACGUACAAACAAUAACGAAAAUAAUGAACACAAAAAAUAGAUAAAUUAUAAUUAAAAAUAAAAAAACACACAAAUUUACACAAAAAAUUCUUUGCAGAAAAAAAAAAAAAAUCACGAAGGAGAACGGAGGAAAAAACUUUAUUAUCAAAAAAAAAAAAAUACAAAGUUCAGAGUACAAUGAUCAAAGUACACAAAAAGAGAAAACAAUAAAGAAGAAAAAAACACUUAACAAGUUUUGAAUCUGAUCUGUACCGUAGAAGGCUCUGCAUCCCACACCUCCUGACGAAUGUCAGUGGUUGGAUACAAACUUGGGCUUAUCGGCCUGAGGCCUCUGUUACCCACCACAUAUUUUUAUUUUUUUUUUCAUAAUUUAUUUUUCAAAUUAGUCGACGAGUCAGAAUCUCAAAACUAAAAUCGAUUACUAAUUUCUAAGCACAUCUAACAAAUACUACUAGUACACUUUAUCAUAAGAUUAGAGGAGGGUGAGUACCCUCCUCACCUCCUGGGUGCCUCCAUGCAUGGCCUUCGCCUAAAGUGGGAUUCCAUUUAUUGAUGAAGCUUUUUCAUGUCCCACUUGAAAUUAAUUUCGAACCCUUAGAAAGACAAAAGAAAAAAAAGAUUAAUAAUUUAAUAUCUUAUAUUUAACACUCUUCGUAUAUUUAGAGAGAGAACCAAUAGGGAGAAAGGGGAUGGGAGAGAGAAAGUUAGAGAGGGAAAGGUGGGGACAACUCGAUUGGUAAAAAAAAAAAAAAAAUGUUUUUAAUAAGGUUAGAUAAGGAACUCGUGCUUCCAAUGAUAUAUACAAUUUUUAUUUAUAAAAAAGUCAGUAAUAAUUGCAAAGAGGACUUUAGCUGGUCAAUGUGCUUUUUGCCUUUUUCGCUCCCGACUAUUAAUAGGGCUUCUUAGUUUAUUCCAUACUUAGAAAUCAAGCUCAACAAAAAUAAUUGCAUGUACUUGGUGUACAUAUAAUAUUAAUUAGUAAUGUUAGAUAGAUAGACGAGGAGACUGUUGCCUUUAAAGGAUAAGUAUUUUGUCACGUGAUAGAAGACCAGAUUGAAUAUAGUCAUGUUUGAAAUAGUGUCGGAUGUUAGGAUUUUCAUAUAUUGUGGCCCAAUUAAUCAUAUAUAAUUUAGGAUUUGCUAUAGAUAAAGGUCAAUCAUAACAAAUUUAGAACUACUUAAUAUGGUAAAUUUUAUCCCUAUCCCAUCUAUUUCAGAUUUAAAUAGAACCCUAAUCAAACUUUGAUGAGAAGUCGAUCUGGACUCUACAUAAAGGGGUAUUGGUCCUGCCACCUUCUCAUACGUAUUCUGGUGAAGAAUUACCAUCGGUUCCACACCAUACGGUAGAGUGCCUGAGACAGGAGGAGAAACCAAAUCACCCAAGUUCGGUUCGUGACUUUCAGAUCAUAGCCGGACUUCACGUUUCCGCAAGAUUGAUCAAGAAUUUCUUCUCUAUGACGCUCUGUGAGUUAUCUUAUAAUUUUGUUUUGAUCCUGAAUUUUGAUAUGUAUUUAUUUUUGGUUUUAUUUUUACAUACCUAUAAAGUCUAUAAAUUGGUAUCAGAGCCAUAAGUUGAUAAUAUUAAACAUCGUAUGCAUAAUUUUUUUUUAAAAAUCAAUUGUGCUGAACCUCUGAAAUUAAUUUUGACACGGUUUACCGAUGUCAGAGUAAUUUUGAAAACUUUAUUUAAUUAUGCAUACGCCUUAAUUACAUAUGCACAUACUGCGGCCUUUAUAGAAGUCGUGCUGUUCAUCAUCCUUUAUAGAAUCUGCACCGUGUGCGACUCUGAUUCCGAUUAUCGCGACCGUCGAUCCGAAAAGCACGGUCGUGCGAUGAGCGUGGAUGAGAAGCACACGGGAUCAGAUCCCAUGCCUUAAUUAAUUUGAGCAUGGUUACUAUGGAUCUAAGGCUCAUGUGAAAUUAGGUUUAAAUUUUGGGGAAGAAGAUGAACAGUAGCUUUAUUAGGCUUAUAUUUGCUAACCUCGGUUACUUUUUAAUUUGCAACUUGGGUUGGUAUCUUCUGGGUUUUUGCGUGCAUACUGAACUUAAGGGGAUCAAAUUGCAAAUUAGAGAUCAUACUUGUUCUUUGUAUUAAUUUUGCAAUUUUGUCGUUUAUUAUUCGUCAUUAUUUAAUUUUGACUCUUGCCCUUUAUGAAGUGCUGUGAGCAUAAAGUUUUGUUCACAUAAAUUUUGUUGACUUAUUAUAAAGUUAAUUAUAUAUGUGGUCAAAUUAGAAUAUAUAAAGUUUAAAUUUGAUUGUGAUAUUAUGUCUUAAAUUAUCGCAUCUAUAUUCUUAUUUUGACCGGAUAAACAUGAAAAUUAAAUAAUUAUAAUUGUUUUUCGAUUAUUUAAUGUUUGGUGCUAAGUUGAAUUAAUUUAUUAUUUUGAUUAGUUAGGUGCAAGUCAAAGCGGUCCUAAUUAAAAGAAAUAAUGAUUUAAUUUACUUUAAAGUAGCGCUUCCGGAUAAUUUUCAUGUUAAUUAUGCAGCACUAAGUCAGAUUAAUUUAUUGCUUCAACUAUUCGGGUGCAAGCAAAAGCGGCCCCGACCGGAAGAAAAGAUAAAUUAAUUGCUUUAAAGAAGUGCAUGCGAAAUUGCACCCUAAUAUUGUGUUUAGUCUGCUCCCAAAGGAGGUCUAGACAUGAAGGUACAUGGGUGGUGUAGGAUGGUAAUUUUCUUAUAACUCGUUUGGAGAAAUUUGCCUGGCCAAAGCUGACAAUUUUUCUAUAUGGAAAAUUUGAAAUUACUAAGACCUGCAGAAAGAUUAAUUAGUCUCUGAUAAAGAGAUUGCAUAGUUAUGCUCAUAACUCUGCUCCCACAGGAGGGGUUGUGAUGUCAUAUAAAGUAUAUGCAUAAAGAACGAAAAAUACUUAUACUCAUAACUCUGCUCCCAAAAGAGGGGUUGUGAUAUCAUAUACAGUGUAUUUCUCUAAUUUUGAUGUGGUAAUUUUAUUUAGAUGUGGUAUUUUAUUGAUAAAACAUGCAUUUUAUUUUUCAGCUAUGACUCCAUUUUCUGUUCCUAUUGGUGAAUCUGUUCCUAUACUUAAUGGUUCUAAUUAUUCGGAGUGGAAAGAAUAGAUCAUGUUCAUUUUGGGCUAUAUGGAUUUAGAUUUGGCUCUGCGCGCUGAGCAACUGCCUAAGGUAGUGGGGCCAAUGACUCCACAGCAGGAAUCCGCGCAGGAAAAAUGGGAGCGAUCCAACCACUUAAGUUUGAUGUUCAUAAAGUCAAGAGUAUCAAAAAGCAUAAGGGGAUCAAUCCUAAAAUGUGAUAAAGCCAAGGAUUAUCUAAAGGCCAUUGAGGAGCAAUUUAUUAGCUCCGAUAAAACCUUAGCGAGCACCUUAAUGAAUAAACUGUCUUCCAUGAAGUACUCCGGAAAUGGCUCGAUUCGCGAGAAUAUUAUGGAAAUGCGAGAUAUUGCAGCGCAACUCACCGCACUUGAAGUAACCAUCUCUGAUUCAUUCUUAGUGCACUUUAUUUUGAACUCUUUGCCAUCUGAAUACGGACCAUUUCAGAUCUCUUAUAACACACAAAAAUAAAUGGUCAAUUAAUGAAUUGCUGACUAUGUGUGUGCAAGAGGAAGGCAGAUUAAUACAAGAGAAACAAAAUGCAGUCAACUUUGUUUCUCAAAAGAGACAAAUCAAGCGUACUAAGAAUGGCAAAGGCAAGAAUGACUCAAAAAGGAAGAACAAGGAAGUUCCAUCUGGUUCACAAGGCCAAUCAAGUAAUUGGACUCCCAAGUGCUUCUUUUGUAAGAAUAGGGGUCAUAUAAAGAAAGACUGCCAAAAGUAUCAGAAAUGACUCCAGAAGAAAGGUAAAUUUCUGGUUUUGAUGCAUGAGUUGCAUUUAGUUUCAAUUCCGUCUAAUACUUGGUGGAUUGACUUUGGUGCCACAUGCCACGUGGCGAAUUCGGUGCAGGGAUUUCAGAAUGGGAGAAAACCCAAUAAAGAUGAAGCAACUAUCUAUACAACUGAAGGAAAUCCAACUAAAGUGGAGUUUGUAGGGACAUUUAGAUUAGUUCUUUCUACUGGUCACAUUUUGGAUUUAGUUGAUAUAUUUUAUGUUCCAAAUUUUUCUAAGAAUUUAAUUUCUAUUUCGAAACUUGUUGGAUUGGGAUAUAGUUUCAGUUUUAAUAAUAAAAUUUUUUCCUUAUCUUAUAAAUCUCAGAUAGUUGGCUCUGAUGUUUUGGAAAAUAAUCUAUAUAAAGUAUUUUUAGAUGAUUCAUUUAGUGAAAUCCUUCUUACCAUGCACGGAAAUGUUGGAUCAAAACGUGGCAUUAAUAAUGAAAAGUCAUCCAUGUUAUGGCAUAAGAGGUUAGAACACAUCUCAAAACAGAGAAUUCAAAGAUUAAUUAGAGAAGGCAUUUUAGAUGAUUUGGACUUCUCUGACUUUGGAAUAUGUGUGGACUGCAUAAAGGGAAAGCAGACCAAAACCUCCUCUAAAGGUGCUAAAAGAUGUGAUGGAACAAUAGAAUUGAUUCAUACAGAUAUAUGCGGACCUCUUCCUCUCUCUAUUACUGGCCAUAAAUAUUUUAUCACAUUUACUGAUGACUACUCUCGAUAUGGCUAUCUCUACUUGCUUAAAAAAAAAAAUCUGAAGCAUUAGAUGCCUUUAAGGCAUAUAAGGCUGAAGUAGAAAAUCAACUCGAGAAAAGAAUAAAAGUAGUCAGAUCAGAUAGGGGUGGUGAAUAUUUUGGUAAACAAACAGAUAAAGGACAAAUUCCUGGACCUUUUGCUAAGUUUCUGGAGCAGUGCGUAAUUGUUCCACAGUACACCAUGCCAGGGAGACCUGAUUUGAAUGGUGUUGCUGAAAGAAGGAACCGCACAUUAAUUGAUAUGCUCAGGAGUAUGAUCAGUAAUUCUACCCUUCCGAUAUCAUUGUGGAGUGAGGCACUCAAAACUACCAUGUAUAUUCUUAAUCGGGUCCCUACUAAGGCUGUCACUAAGAUUCCUUUUGAGCUUUGGACAGGUAGGAAACCCAGUUUAACACAUUUUCAUACAUGGGGUUGUCAAGCUGGGGCCAAGUUGUAUGAUCCACAAAUAAAGAAAUUGGAUCCUCGAACCAUAUCAGGAUAUUUUAUUGGUUAUUCGGAAAGGUCCAAAAGGUAUAAGUUUUACUGUCCAUCACUUAAUUCCUAUAAAGAUUGCAGAAACUAAAACAGCACGGUUUAUUGAGGAUGGUACAAAUAGUGGGAGCUCUGAACCUCGAUUCAUUGAAUUUGAAGAAAUUCAUGAGCAUUCGGAUUCUGUACAUGACAGACCCACUGUUGUCCCUCACGAUUUGUUGGUUCCUAUUCCAGUAGAACAACAAGUUGUUUUGGAACCACAAAGUGAUUGUGAACCUAUCAUUGAUAAUUCACACCAAGAUGUACAAGUGGAUAAUUCACAUCAAGAUGUACAAAUGAAUGAUCCACAUCAAGAUAUACAUGUGGAUAAUCAGAUAGAUUUAAGAAGAUCCUCAAGACAGAGAAGACCGGCUAUAUCGAGUGACUAUAUUAUCUAUCUUUAUGAGAAUGGCCAGAGUUUAGAUGAUCCUCUUAGUUUUUUCGAAGCCAUAAAUAGUAAUAAUUCUACGGAAUGGUACAAUGCCAUGAAGGAUGAGAUUGAAUCCAUGAACCACAAUAAGGUAUGGGAUCUUGUUGAGUUACCAAAAGGAGUUAAACCCGUAAGAUGCAAAUAGGUUUAUAAAAAUCAAAUGGGACUCCAAGGUAACAUAGAGAGAUACAAGGCCCGUCUUGUGGCAAAAGGAUUUACUCAAAAGAAGGCAUUGACUAUAAAGAGACUUUCUCUCCAGUAUCUAGAAAGGAAUCUUUUCGUAUUAUUAUGGCUCUGGUUGCUCAUUUUGAUCUCGAGCUAUAUCAGAUGGAUGUCAAAACUGUUUUUUUAAAUGGAGAUCUCUAUGAAGAGGUGUAUAUGAAUCAACCUGAAGGAUUCUCGCAAAUAGGAAAGGAGCACAAUGUAUGCAAAUUAAAAAAAUCAAUAUAUGGACUAAAGCAGGCCUCCUGACAAUGGUAUUUAAAAUUUAAACAAACUAUUUUGACUUUUGGUUUUAAGUAAAAUAUUGUUCAAUGUAUUUAUCUAAAGGUCAAUGGGAGUAAAAUAAUUUUCUUAGUCCUUUAUGUUGAUGAUAUUUUGCUUCCCAGUAAUGAUUUUAGGCUAUUGCAUAACACUAAAGAUUUUCUUUUCCAAAAUUUUGAAAUGAAAGAUUUAGAUGAGGCCUCAUAUGUUCUUGGUAUUGAAAUCAAAAGGGAUAGACAUAAAGGUUUACUCGGUCUAUCUCAAAAGGCCUACAUAAAGAAAAUUUUGAAAAAUUUUAAAUGCAUAAUUGUAAGCCCAGUAUUGCUCCUGUCCAGAAAGGGGAUAAGUUUAAUGCUUUUCAGUGUCUCAAAAACCAAUUAGAAAUUGAACAGAUGGAAAACAUAUCCUAUGCCUUUACAGUUGGUAGUCUUAUGUAUGCACAGACGUGCACAUGUCCGGAUAUUGCUUUUGCCGUUGGAUUCUUGGCAGAUAUUAAAGUAAUCCAAGCAUUGAGCAUUGGAAGGCUGCUAAAAGAUUAUGAGGUAUUUGAAAGGAACUUUGGAUCAUAUUGCAUGUUACGAGACCACAUUACAGGCUAUUUGGCUUAGGAAUUUUAUCACAGACUUAAGAAUUGUGGACUCCGGUGUUUAUCCAAUAAAGAUUUUCUGUGAUAGUUCAGCUGCGGUUUUCUUUGCCAAUAACAACAAGAUUGCAGCGGGGUGUAAACACUUGGACACUAAAUUUCUUAUUGUGAGAGAGAAAAUAGAUGAAGGUUAUAUUACAAUUGAAUACAUCAAUACCAAGUGUACGAUUGCAGACCCAAUGACCAAGGGGCUGGCACCUGGGUUAUAUACGGAUCAUGUUAGAAAUAUGGGUUUGAUUAGUUCUUUCGAUGUAUAAAAUUGUAAUACUUAUUUUCUUUCAAUAAAGUUAAGGUUUAAUGUAGCUGUGUUGGACCAUUUAAUAGAAAUAAAGUUUCAUCUAUAAACGAAUGAAUAUACAAUUUAAAUUCAUUGAUAAAGUUGUGCCAUAUAAAGUACUCGGCUAGAAGGUGAAGAUGAUACGGUAAUUAUGGAAGGAAAAUUUCGUUAUGAAGAUGUGGACCGCCAUAGUUUCUAUCAUUGUAGUCUUUAGUUUGAGCUAAAGAUCAAGUGAGUUCUAAGGUAUUUGACCAUAAAGUUUUCAAUAAUGUGCAAUAAAGAUUGGAGUAUAGAAAAUCAGUUAAUGGAAUAUGAUUAAUAUGAGCCAAGUGGGAGAUUGUUAGGAUUUCCAUAUAUUGUGGCCCAAUUAAUCAUAUAUAAUUUAGGAUUUGCUAUAGAUAAAGGUCAAUCCUAACAGAUUUAGAACUACUUGAUAUGGUAUAUUUUAUCCCUAUCCCAUCUAUUUCAGAUUUAAAUAGAAUCCUAAUCAGACUUUGAUGGAAAGUCGAUCUGGACUCUAUAUAAAGGGGUAUUGGUCUUGCCACCUUCUCAUACGCAUUCUGGUGAAGAAUUACCAUCGGUUCCACACCAUACGGUAGAGUGCCUGAGACAGGAGGAGAAACCAAAUCACCCAAGUUCGGUUCGUGACUUUCAGAUCAUAGCCGGACUUCACGCUUCCGCAAGAUUGAUCAAGAAUUUCUUCUCUAUGGCGCUCUGUGAGUUAUCUUAUAAUUUUGUUUUGAUCCUGAAUUUUGGUAUGUAUUUAUUUUUGGUUUUGUUUUUACAUACCUAUAAAGUCUAUCAUGGGACUGAUUGGGCUAAGUCAUCAUUGAAAUCCAUAGGCGCUGUGUUGUAUCUGUACGCUUUAACAAGUGAAUUAUUUAUAUCUUUCUAACAGCUCUAGUUUAGGCAAAGACAGGUAUUAAUCGAGAGGAAAAGAGUAGAACCAUUUCUUAUUCGCACAUGCAUGAGAAUACAAAGUGACAAGUUGGUAGCAAGACCUAAUUAAAGUCCUUACACAUCACACGAUAAUAAUACUAACAUACAUAAUUUACAAAUGCGAAAAAGUAAAAGUUGGUGCAGCAGCUCGAUCCGAUCGGGUUCUUGAUUACUUCUAGGGGUUAUUUAUCGGGCAAUUCCCGCACACGAUGUUCGGAUCGUUGGUGCAGCAGGAGUGACCCGGCAUUCUACGAUCGCGACUCGUCAUCGCUGACGUCUGCGUCGUCGCAGCAGUCUGCUGAGACGUCUUCAAUCCGUCUCCUUCCACAGAAAAGCGCUCCCGCCGAGGCCUAGCCCCCGCCAUUACAAGGUGCAGCGUGGUUGAGCUCACCAUCAUCAUCACCAUCAUCAUCGUUGUUGUAAAGGCAAUGAGGAGGACGACCACCUGCAGCAGUUUUGAGCUAGGAGCCAUUGAUAUAUUUGCACAGAGAAUAAGAGCUGUCAGGAGAAGCAGCUAGCAAGAGAGAGAGAGAGAGAGAGGAGGGUUUUUGCACAUGUGGGACAAUCAGCUAAGGCUGCGGAAGUGGCUUUAUAGAAGCAGAAUUUUGGAGCACUUGAUGAAACAAUAUGCACGCAUGCGCACUAGGGAGAGACUUUUUGGCCUUAACCUAACAAUUAAAUAAGCUAUAUAUAUAUAUAUUGUGGCCAGCUGUGCUUUUGCGUUUCAGUGGUCGUGCAUGGAGCUAGCAUGCAUGCAUGCAUGCAUGCAAUAGUAGGCUGAAAAAAUUGCUCAGAUUAUUAUGCUGAGCAAACAAGCUGUCGAAAUUAUUGGGAAUUAGAUGGAUCGUUCGUUGUACGCUAUCAACAUAGAUAUACGAAACAAAGAAAACCGAACUAUAAAAAAAAAUAAAUGCAGAAAGAAAAAAAUCCAGAUUUACAUGAUUCUUUAAUUGCCUACGUCCACGGAAAGAGCGAGAAAGAUAUAUUCCAACUAUAUAAAAAAUAAAUAAAUGUACAAUCUUAAAUUCUACCUUUUUCUUAUUCCAACAAAAAUUCUAAACAUAACCGAAAAAAGUUUUUGUAAAACUAUAAUCGAGAAUACUAAAGUAGAGAAGUAUAAAAAAGCUACUAUGUUAUAAGAAGUAUAAAGAAUUUGGUGCUUCCGAUUUUUUAGCUGUUGAAUCAAGACUUGUGCGGCUAGAAUAAUUGCGGUACUCCCUAGGAUUGAGUGGUUCUCCUAGAGUUGAAUGGUCGUCAUAGGAUAAUAAUAUUAAUCUAAAUAUUAGAAAUGAUCAAAAUAGUUGAUCUAAAGGUCAAAAAGUUAGAAGCACCAGAUACGCUAUACUUCAUAUAUAUAUAUAUAGAGCUAGUCUCCUAUAUUAUCUAUAGUACCGGGGCUUCAGUACUAUAGUCUCGUUUUCGAAAUUAGAGUGUUCAAAUCAACGACACACACCGUUAAAACUGAUUUAGGGUAUUUAAAGUUUUUAGAAAUAAAAUUUUAUAUUUUUUCGACAUAUUUUAUUUUAUAAUCAAACCAUUUUAAAAUUGUCAGUUUUCAAUGGCUAUUAUGACGAGUUUGGAGUUUAACGGUGUAGAAGAAUCUAAAUUUCUUUAAAUUUUAAUAGAAAUUCUUUAAACUAUCUAGAUUAAGGUUAACAUUCUUGAUCUUGAAUUUAAAAGUCCUAUGCUCAAAUUUUAAAGAUUAUUCAAUUUCCACCAUCCAUUUUGACAUAAUUUAUUUACUAAGUAAACGAUGCCGAAAAAAACUAAAAUUUUAUUUCUAAAAACUUCAUAUACCCUAGAUUAUAUUUAACGGUGUGGAUCGUUAAUUUGAACAUCCUAAGAUCGCAAACAAGACUAUAGUACUAGAGCUUCAGUACUAUAGAUAGUGUAGUAGCCUAAUUCUAUAUAUAUAUAUAUAGUCCGGUUAUGGUGUUUGUAAAGCACAAAGCACUUGGUGUUUGUGAAUUUUUUACCGUUAGAUCUACGCUUUUGAUCAUUUUCACCCGUUAGAUUAUACUAUUUAACCAAUCACCCACUCAACCCUAUAGGGCUCAUAUCAUUCUAACCGCACAUCUCUUAAUCUAAGGGCCAAAAACUUGAUACUUUUAAGAGCAUAGGAGCUCAAUUCUCUCUCUCUCUCUCUCUCUCUCUCUCUCUAUAUAUAUAUAUAUAUAUAUAUAUACACUAUUGGAACUAUUUAGAAAACUAAAUUUCAUAAUUUUUCGAUAUCAUUUACCACAUGAUCAAAAGGCCUAAAAAAUGACUAUUUUAGUGGUUGAUGUGGUAUGUUUUUAAGUUCAACGGUAUAGAACUAUCCAAAUUACAUAAAACUUCAAUAGAAAAUUCUAUUUAACAUCAACAGGAAGAUCAAUACUUUUGAUUCGAAAAUUGAGUCUUUCAUCGCUAUUUUUUUUAUGAAUUUUUAUUUUCAGUCAUUUAUUUUUAGGCUACUCGUUCAAUAGGUAAAUGAAGUCAAAAAUUAUAAAAUUUAUUUUCUAAAUAAUUUCAAUAGCGUAGAUUAUGCCUAAUGGAGCUGAUCGUCAAAUUGGAUGUCAUAUCAUCAAAAACAACUUACAAAUACGGAUGUCUUCAUACUUUCGAAAGUACAGGAGACAUACUCAACAAAAUAAUUAGUUUUUACAAAAUAUUUGUAAUAAAUAUUACAGUUUAUUAUAGAGAUAUAUAUCAUCACUAGCAAACGAUGUUACUUAUACACAAUAUAAUUGUUAUUCUAAUAUAUUAUAUAAUUGUGAUAAGUGAAACUUUGCCAAUAUUUUGAGUUUCUAUUUUUAUUUAGCCAAAUUUGGCUCGAGCUUAAUUAACACAAGGACAAAUUCGUGCUGUGAGGGCAUCGUGCGUUUGUGCGACCGUUCCACCACGCACUAAUUAAGAAGGGUAAUUAAGUGCAUACCAACAUUAGAGCCCAACGUUUCAUGCUUAAUUAGUCCUCUUUAUAUAUAUAUAUAUAUAUAUAUAGAGAGAGAGAGAGAGAGAGAGAGAGAGAGAGAGAGAGAGAGAGAGACUGGUAUACUAUCGAUAGCACAAAGGCGUCCAUACUACCAAGUUGUUUUCAAUGAUGCGGCUUCUAAAUCGACGAUCGUCUCCGUUAGACUUGAUCUACACUAUUAAAAAUAUUUGAAAACUAAAUUUCAUAAUUUUUCGACAUCAUUUAGCUAGUGAUCAAAAUGUCUCAAAAUUGGCAAUUUUAAUAGUAGAUGUAAUGUAAUGUCUUUGUGAAUUUAACGGUGUAAAACAAUUCAAAUCUGAUGAAAAUUUUAUAGAAAAUUAUUUUCACAAUUUAGAGUAAGAUCAGUAACUCUGAUUUUAAAUUCAAGUCUUUUAUCAUCAUUUUUUAUGAGAUUUUUAUUUCCAGCCGCUCGUUUUUAGACUGCUCGUUUGAUAGGUAAAUAAUGUUGAAAAAUUAUGAAAUUUAGUUUUCAAAUACUUUCAAUAGUGUAGAUCAAGUCUAACAGAACCGAUCAUCGAUUUGGAAGCCGCAUUAUUGAAAACAACUUGAUAGUACGAAAGCAUCUGUGUUACCGAUAGUAUACCAGCCUAGCUCUAUAUAUAUAUAUAUCGUCUACGGUUGAUGUUGAUAUGAGGUGAACAUUAUAGAAAAAACAAAAGUGAGAGAGAAAAUAUUGUUUGAGAGAUAUUUUCAUUUUUUUUUUUUUUAACUUUCAUUGUUUCAUUGGAUUACUAAUUUCUUCAUCGAGUGUUGAAAAAAGUUUCAUCAACCUGCCUCACCACGAUCAUGCUCGCAGGAAGAAAAAUUCCGAUCGUACUUUGGGAUAGUAUUUUCGGUUAAUUCCGGACAAAUGAUGGAAAUACACAUCUUAGGGCAGUGCCUCGCACGCUUUCGGAUCAAAUCGUUUGGCUUUCUUCUUCCACAAUUAUUUAAAAUUUUAGCGAUCAUCUGUGAGUUAAUUAAUUUAUUAAUUUCAUCACAAAAUUAUUUAGAUUUUAAUCACAAUCCAAUUUUCAGUGCGGUAUCUCCUAACAUUACUUUUAUUAGAGGACAGAGAAAGAGUUAUGUGUACAUGCACACACACUUGUAGCUUCUGCUUGCAGAGGAGCCAAUUCUGAAAUGAACUGGUGCACUUUAUAUUAUUUCAUGCAUGGACAGAUUCUUCAUAAUGGAGUGCUCAUGCUUUAGCCAAUAUUGAUAUGAAUAGUCUCAUAUAUAAUUUAAGCAAAAAUAAAUAAAUAAAUGAGGGACUACUAUUUGCCAGAAAGAAAUAAAAUGCAACAAGUAAAGCAAGCAUGUGCCAGCUAGAGCACCUCUGUAAAGCAGUAAAUUAUAACUUUUCUGCACUGCAUGAAUAUUUUAUGUGUAAGUUAGUUAGGUUUGAAAGUCUGAAAGAUGCCAACAACUGAAACGAAGAAAGCCUGAAAGAUGCGAUCUGAUUUUGUGAGUGAGAUUCAAUUGACCACCAAGUGUACGUGCAUAAUAAUUUACAGUAAUAUUGUUUUUUUUUGAGAAAUAGAUAGCUCGCUAUCCGCUUCAUUUAUUAGGAAAAUGAACUACGCUUACAUAAUGGAGGCAGCUAGGGCCUCCGAAGGGAGAGAAAGUGACAAAAGUGAGAAAAAGGACAAAAACAAAGACAGAGAAGAAAAACGGAAGCGAAGAAGCAGCAUAUCCCAAAAAACCGAAGUAAUCAAUGUGGAGCGGUCCAGGUGUCCAGUAAAAGCUUAAUCCGAUCCAGGCACCGGAUAGGGUUGGGGGCACUGUCUCGAAAGAUUAUAGCAUUCCUUUCCGUCCAAACUACCCAUGCCACCAGAUGGCAGAGAGGGUUGAGAGAGAAGAAAGUCUCUCGUAAUAUUGUAUAGUAGGAUCAAUUUACAGUAAUAUUGUAUAUAUAUAGUAUAGUACGUAGGAUCAAGCAAAGUGCAAAAUAAGAAGGAAUCUAAGAACCCUCCAUCAGUACCGUAGCAUUAAUUUAAUGACCAACCAAUUGCAGUAACUAAACAUCCCACCUGAAAUUAAAGUUAGGGGCAAUUACUUAUGUAUCGUAAAAAGUUUUCAAAUUUUUUAUUUAUUUUUUUUCAAAGGCUAAUAUUAAAAAUAUUCUUUUAACGUUUCAAGUUAUUUCAAAUAUAUGUCUAGAGUUUAAAAAUUCUGCCAAUAAAUGAUUAGCAAGAGCUAUUCUCUCUGUGAGAUAACUAUUUUACUCUUUCAGAUAUAUACUCGUAUGUAUAUCGUCACCAAUUUUUCUUUUUUGUCCUUAAGUUAUGAGCAAAAAUAGUAUUUUGAUUUUCUAUUUUCUCACAUAUACUUUUUUAUCAUCAUCAAUUUUUCUUAUUUAUUCUUAAGUUAAGGGCAAAAAAGAUAUUUUAAUUUUUUUUUAAAUUUUGAUAGAAAUUUAAUUUGAAUUUAAUCCGAAAUAACUUAACGGAUACUAAUAAUAGGGAUAUUUUUGAAUAACUAAGAAAUAUAUAUACUAUGGGUAUAUUUGAAAUAGAAAAAAAAGUAAGAAUAUAUUUGAUAUUUCAGAAGUUUUCAAAGGCGUAUUAGAUAUUAUUUUUUAAAGUUAAUUACAUGACCCCUUGUAAUCCUCAAAGACCACCAAGGCAUCAACUACAGGGCCGCUAGUUAUUAAUAAUUGUUUUUGCACUAUAUUAAACUGUCUGCAACCAAGGCCACUGGAUUGGAUUCAGUGGGUUCUAAUAUUAAUUAAUUAAACUUGAUGCCCACUAUAUUAAACUCACCUAAGCUCUAACUAUAUAUAUAUAUAUAUAUGUAGUAUUAAUUAAAAUGUCAACCCUUGUACUAUGAUACACAAGUUUCCCUAGACCCGCAUGAUUGUGGAAAAAAAUAAUUUUUUUUUAAAAAAAGAGCCAAAGUUUGAAACAUGUAUACAAAUAAGCUUGUCUCGUCUUUCUUUAGAAUACUUAGAAUAUAUAGAAUACAGAAUUUUAUAAUUUAGGAAUACAUCGUAUAAAAUAGGAAAUGCUGAAAGAAGAUGCCAUCCAAUCUGGUGCUCUACAUAUUUUGGAUUUUGUCUGUUGCAGAAUCUUCUGAAAAAGGAAAGGCUGAAAGAUGAAUAUAUCCAAUUAAUUUGGUACUUUUCGUCCACUGGCUAGCAAUUAAAAUUUAAUCAUGCAUGGGAUGAUAAUGUAGGUUUACUUUGAUAGUGCUUAAUUUCAGGUAAGAGAUCUUGCAUAAUACAAUUUCUCAUGCAUUUGAGCAUUUCUUAUGCCUAAACAGGUCGUAGAAGAAUUAACUAAUUUUUUUAAUUCCAUUUAAAUAACUUACAUACAUCACACAAGAAAAUUUUGCUAAGUAUAAAAUGCCCAAAUAAGAAAAGCAAAGCUCAAGGAGUCUUAAUGAAAAAAAAAAAAACAAAAAAGUUCAAGGGGUCUAAUUUAAACCGACCUAUAUAUAGGUGCUGAGGGGCCUCCGUUGGCACUUUUGCCUAGCAAUAAUUAGGGAUAGAAAUGUUAUUUUGUUUUAUAAAGAUUAACUAAAACAAACUGAGAAUUAUAGCACGGAUAAUCAGGAUAAUUUAUGAAGUUUGACAGGAUCUUGACGAUAUUUCAAUGUUUUGAGUACUCUAUAAUAUUUUUAAAAUUUAUAAGGGUAUCAUGAAAUUGUUGCUAGCCUAUAAAUAGCAGUUAAAGGGUAAGUCUCGAAUUAAGCGAAAAAAAAAUUCCUAAAAAUUUAGGGCAAAAUAUGGGACGAGAAAUAUACAUAACCCUAAACGGUCCAACGACGGUUGUCUGCCAACCAAAUUGGCCCACCAAAAAUUGAGGAAUCUACUGAAGGAAGAAAGUUUGAAAGAUGCGACCAGAUACCGACCGUCCCUAGAGCAAAUGGCAAAGAAUUUGGUAGUUGGUAUACGAGGUCUCAAGUUCGAAUACUAGUUGAUUCACAUUACUAGCUAAGUUUAUUUCUAAAUGAAAUAAACGAAGUAGGUAGCUUGCUACCUAUCUCUCAAAAAAAAAAGAAAGAUGCCACCAGAUUUGGUCAGAUUCCAUUGACUACCAAGCCAAGUGCAAGAAAAGGAAUUUAGAAUCCUCUAUCAGUACUAUAGCAUUAGUUUAAUGAUCAACCAAUUGCCAUAAUUAAACAUCCCACCUGAAAUUAAAUUAUAUGACCCUUGUCUCAUCCAACACCAUGUUAAUUAAACUCAUGCACCCAAGCACUAACUAUAUAUAUAUAUAUAGAGAGAGAGAGAGAGAGAGAGAGAGAAGGUCUUGUGUGCUAUUAGGAGCACGGAGGCCUCCGUGCUCCUAAACCAUUUUCAAUUAUGGAGUUUUCGAAUCGAUGAUCGGCUCCGUUAAACUUGAUCUAACAUAUUUGAAGUACCUAGAAAAUAAAUUUUGUGACUUUUCGAUAUCAUUUACCUAACGAUCGGAAGGGUUCAAAAUCAGCGGCUGAAAAUAAAAAUCUCACAAAAAGUAGUUAUAUAACAUUAAAAUUUUGGAUUAAAUAUAUUGAUUUUGCUAUAAAUAGUAUAAAGAAUUUUCUAUCAAAAUUUCAUUUGAUUUGAAUACUUCUAUACCGUUAAACUUGUAAACGUACUCUAUAUAUAUAUAUAUAUAUAUAUAUAUAUAUAUAUAUAUAUAUAUAUAUAUAUAUAUAUAUAUAUAUCCAAAACUAGAUAAUACUAUCGGAUAGCAAAUAGGCUCCCGUGUGCCACCCAUUUGUUUCGAUGAUGGAGCCUCCAAAUCGAUGAUCAGUACCGUUGAACAUGAUCUAUAUCCAAACAAUUAAUUUUUUGUUAGAAAAUUUUAAACUAUUUAAAAUAAGAUCUAUACUCUUGAUCUUGACUACAAGACUCCUAUCAUCAUUUUUUAAAGAAUUCAUUUUCAGCUGUUCAAUUUUGUGUUCACUCGAUGGAUAAGAAAUAAAUAUCGAAAAAAUAUGAAAUUUGAUUUCUAAACACUACAGUGGUAUAGAUCAUGUCAAUCGGUACCGAUCGUCGAUUUGGAGGCCCCAUAUCGAAACAAAAUGGGUGCAAGGAGCCCGGUUUGCUACCGAUAGUAUCUACGCUCAACUCUCUCUCUCACUCUCCUAUAUAUAUAUACUAUUAUAUAUAUAUAUAUAUAGCUAGGCUGGUAUAUUAUCGGUAGCACGGAGGCCUCUAUGCUACCAAGUUGUUUUCAAUGAUGCGGCUUCCAAAUCGACGAUCGGCUCCUUUAGACUUGAUCUAUAUUAUUAAAAGAAUUUGGAAACUAAAUUUCAUAAUUUUUCGGCAUUAUUUCGCUAGUGAUCAAAAGGUCUCAAAAUUGAUAAUUUUAAUGGUAGAUGUGAUGCAUUUGUGAAUUUAACGGUGUAAAACAAUUCAAAUCUGAUGAAAUUUUUAUAGAAAAUUCUUUUUACUAUUUAAAGUAAGAUCAGUACCUCUGAUCUUAAAUUCAGAUUUUUUAUCAUAAUUUUUUACGAGAUUUUUAUUUUCAGCCGUUCAUUUUUAGGCUAUUCGUUUGAUAGGUAAAUGAUGCCGAAAAAUUAUGAAAUUUAGUUUCCAAAUACUUUCGAUAGUGUAUAUCAAGUCUAAUGGAGCCGAUCGUCGAUUUGGAAGCCGCAUCAUUGAAAACAACUUGGUAGCACGGAGGUCUCCGUGCUACUGAUAGUAUACCAGCCUAGCGCUCUCUCUCUCUCUCUCUCUCUAUAUAUAUAUAUAGUAUUUAAAAUGUCAACCUUAUAUGAUUAUACUAGUUACAAAUAAUUAAAUUAUCUUGAUCCAAUGGGACUAAAUAGCAUCAUUGAUCCAUGAUCCUCUGUUUUACAGCAAUAAAAUCACUUGAAAGAUCAAAAAUCUUACAAAACGGUCAAAUAGUGUCGAAAUAUUAUUUUAAAAAUUAAUUUCUUUUACAAUUCCACACAAACCAUUAUUGGAUAUCAAAAUUUGUGUCCAAAGCAACCUUAGGAACUAUUAUCUUUUCACUCGAUGGGCAUUAUUGUAGAAAAAUAAUAAUAAAAAAAAGACAAAGUUGUAAACAUGUAUACUUUUCAAAAAAGCUUGUAGUUGAACAAUCUUCUGAAAAAGAAAAGGCAGAAAGAUGUAUCCAAUUAAUUUAGGUUUACUUUAAUAGUGCUUUCAAAUACAUUAUUAUGAUUAAGGAAGGGGACAAUAAAUAAUUUAGAAAUUAAUCCACUAUUACUUUAAUAGUGGAACACUGAUUUAAUGCGAACAAAAAAAAUCUCAUUCCUAAAGUAUAUUAAACUAAAUUCUUCCUCCUUAAAUUCCAUUGCAUUCUAUUUUGUUUGGUGCCAAACGGAUUGCGUCAGACGUACAGCCAGUUGGCGGACCAAACGGAUUGCGCCACGCGUCAGGUCACGAUUUUCUGCGGCGACACUAUCACAAGUAAAUAGAAAUUUGAUCCAUUCUGAAAUAUAAAUUUGGCAGGACUAUUCAUAAUACAAAUGAUACUUUUUCAAUUCCUAUAAUUUGAGACCAGAUUUACAGUAAGUUCAUUUUCUAUUUGUUAAGCUUUAUCAAUAACUCCUAAAAAGCACCUUUUCCACCUUAGUUACAAAUUCAUUUCUAACUCUAUUAUUGUAAAUUAAACGAUAGAGUAGUCACAUCAAAUCUAUUUCCCUUGUUUUGUUUUUUUUAACCAAAUAACAAGACAAAAUGAGAAUUCAAUUGAACUCUUAUUUGAUGCAACUAAAAAAAAAAUUCAUUUUUUACACUGUGAUUUAAUGCAGACAAAAAUGUCCAUUUGUAAAAUAAAUUUAAUUAAAUUCAUCCCUUCUAAAUUCUUGGAAAAACUUCAAAUACCACCCCUGUUUCACACUUUCUCACUUUAGUACCCUAUGGUUUAAAGUGUAUAAAUUUAGUGUCCUGUGGUUUCAUUUUUAUCUUUUUAUUAUCGAUUUUACUAAUUUUUUUCGUUAAAUCAGUGACAAAGUUAAAACUAAAGAGUACUAAAGUGAAUAUUUGAUAAAUCUAGGUAGGAUAUAUGAAGUUUUUUGUAUAUAAUUUAACGAAAUAUUAACGAAAAAGCUGACGAAAAGAUUAAAAAAAAAAAAAAACCACAGAACACUUACUUGAUACACUUUAAACCAUAGCGUAUUAAAAUAAGAAAGUGCGAAACUACAGGAGUGGUAUUUUAUCCUAAAUUCUAUUGAAUUGAAUUUCAUUCGGUGCAAAACCGAGUGUCGUGUUUAUCCUACAAAAUCACGAAGAUGUUAUGUUAACGGGCUGGGCCGUUCAUGCAUCAUCUUUACUGUGGGCUUGCUGUAGUAUCAGUCACAAGUCCAAAACUUUGGAAUCUGGCCAACAGGCCCGUUGGUCUGCAAAGCGUGGUUAGCGAUGUCAAUGGAUACAUAUACCUAAAAUUUUACAAAAAUUCGGACCCGAAUAGGGCGAGCUUAUCUGAUGCUAAAGGGGUAUGGUUUCAAUUAUGUGUAUAAAAAACAAAACCCGACAGAUUCGGAUUCGGAUAUGAUUUUUACUAUAGCGGAGCAGAACCCGAGCCCUAACAAAACUUGAAUCGAUUUUAUGUUAUAUAAUAUAUAAAUAUUUGAAUUUAUACUUUAAAAUUUUAAAUAUGAGUAAGAUAUGUUUAAAAAUUUGGGAAAAAGAAAUCAUUGAUGUCAGGUUCUGUUUAGAUCUCGGCUUUAUUGUCGGGUUUGGUUUGGUUAUGGAUUUUCAAUACCGACGAAUUCAGUUCAGGUUGUGGCUUAGCUAAUCGGGUUCAGAAUUUGAAAAUCAGCUACAAAUCCCACCUGUAGACAUCCGUAGGCCCGGCAGUGGCCAUUUAUAUUUUCCUCAAUAUUGAUUUAAAGAUUUCAAAUAAUUUACUCAAAAAGUCAUUUCUAACUUAUUUUUUUAAUAAAUAACUUUAUAUAUUUCAUGAAAUUAAUGCUAAAAAUAUAAAUUUAAUUUUUUUUUUAAAUAGAAAAAUAACUCAGCCUGUGGCCCAACAUGGCGGCCUGUACAGAUUUGGACCGGGUUGGGCCAUGGUCCGAAAAAAAUCGUCUGGCCCAGCCCAGAAUGGAUACGAGAGUACUGACGAAAACAAAUCGAAUAUUAUCUGAAAAUAUCCGCAUUCGUAUAGAAAAAAUUGGGAUAUGGUUGGAUAUGAAUAUAGAUAUAAUAUUAAAAAAGUCAAAAUUAUUCAAAUAUCUAACAAAAUGAAUAUGGAUAUGAAUAUCAAUACCCAAUUUUUUUUAAUAAUAUUAUAUUUUAUAUUAAUAAAUUAUGUAAAUUAUCAUCCACUAUCCUAUUCUCCUAAUCCCUAACUCCCAUAUCUCAUUCCUCUAUUUCAAUAUUGUUCUUUCAAAUUUUUGGAUAUGUGAAAAAAAAAAAAAAUUCUCAAUUGUUUGAUUGCUGAUUUGUUAGGCCAUAAUAAAGGUUUAAUUGCUUGUUUUUUUGUGAGAGACAAAUGUCGCUUAAUUGUUAGUUGUGGGGAGAUAAACAGUUUGAUUUCUUUUUUUUAGUAGAGAGAUAAUAUAUGCCGUAAAAAAAUCAGAUGAAUUUUUGUGCUCUUUAUUUAUUUUAUUAUGAGUUUCGCAUAAAAACUAUAUUUAUAUAUGUUUGUUAAAUGUUAUAUUUUAUUGGCCUUUUUGCAUAAAAAAUCCACUUAUUUUGGGUUUUUGCAAAAUCGGACCACGUUUUUCGUUUUUGCAGAUUCGGUCCACUUUUUCAGUAAAGUGACCAAAAUACCCUUAUUAUCUUUUCUCUUUCCUCUUUUUGUUUCUUUCGUUCGUUUUUUUUUCUUUCGCCUCCUCCCCGACGCCCUGCCCUUCGCCUCGCCUCCUCUCUCCGCCUCCCCCCCUGCCCCCUCUCCCUUCUCCUCCUCGACUCCCUCUGCGACCGCCGCCUCGUCGCCGACGCCGAAUCCCUCUUCCUCUGCCCCCCUUCCCCCCUCCUCCCCUCCCCCUUCCCCCCCGACACCAAGGUCUACAACCUCCUCCUCCGCGGCUGGCUCAAGGUCCGCCGAUGGCGCCGCUGCCGCGAGCUCUGGCUCGACAUGGACCGCAACCGCGUCCCCAAAGACCUCCACUCCUACUCCGUCUACAUGGACGCCCUCUCCAAGUCCGGCAAGCCCUGGAACGCCGUCCGACUCUUCAAGGAGAUGUCCCGAAAGUUCGCUGCCGACGCCGGUCGCAUACAACACCGCAUCCCCGGGCCCAUUGGACUUUUAUCAACGCCCGCGUCUCGCCGCGAUCCGCGCGCGCGGCGGAGGCGCUGGUGCGCAUGGCGGCGCAAGCCGCUGCGGCGGGUCCCCCCGGGUCGCAGCGGCGUGGCCGGUACACGCGGUGGCGUGGGCGGCACGCGGUCCGGCUGCGGCUGCUUCUUCUUCUUCUUCAUGGUGUAAUGGUGCACACAUUACACCAUUAAUGGUAACCCAUUACACCAUUAAUAGUGUAAUUUCACCAUUACACCGCAUAAUAGUGUAAUGGUGCCCAUUAAUGGUGUAAUUACACCAUUACACUAUUUAAGUGUAAUGCGUGCUCCAUUACACCGUUAAUGGUGUAGAUUGUGUGCACCAUUAGCUGAUGUCAAUUAACAACCAAUUACACUAUUAAUGGUGUAAUGGUGCUCCAUUACACCAUUAAUGGUGUAAUGGUGCACCAUUACACCAUUACGAAGAAGAAGAAGCCGCGUGCACCGCGUACCCCCCCGCCGCCGCCGCGUGCCCGCCCGCCGCCGCAGCGUGCACCGGCCCUGCCACCGACCCAGCCCCGCGCCGCGCUCGUGGUGUUCGACGAAUCGCCCUCUUCAGGGGCUUCCUGAUCCCGGUCUUCCUCGGCUUCUCCAGCAGCGACAAGGGAAUUCUCCCUCCGCGUGCGCACGGAGCGCGGCCCCCUCGGCAUGAGGCUUCGGACGAGGUUGAGAGCCGCAUCCGGGGAGUGGGGAGCGGGGCGAGGGAGCCCGGCGCGGUCGCACCAGCUGAGGAUCGCGUUCCUGAUAGCGACGUUGGGGAUGAGGAGGGGAGAGGCGGAGGCGCAGGAGGAGAGGUUGAGGGCGUGGGAGAGGCACGGAGGGGUGAAGGCGAGGUCGAGGCACGCGUGGACGCAGCUCCGCUCGCGAUCGGCGUCGCAGGCACAGCGUCACCACCGACGAGUCGUGCACUCCGACCUUGGCGCCUGACCUACGCCGCCUCUGCUCCUUCGACGGCCGGAGGCCCCCACUGUUGGCCGCCUUUCGUGCGGAUCGGGAGAGGGAGGCGGACGCGGCGUCCCUGGGGAAAAGAAAGAAAAAAAGAACGAGAAAAAAAAAAAAGAGGAGAGAGAAAAAUGUAUAAGGGUAUUUUGGUCAGUUUGCUGAAAAAGUGGACCGAAUCUGUAAAAACGAAAAAGGUGGCCCGAUUUUGCAAAAGCCCAAAAUAAGUGGAUUUUUUAUGCAAAAAGGCCUAUUUUAUUUAAACAAAAUUAAAAACACAAAAAAUUGAACAUGCAUGUGAAACUUUAGUUGCUUUUUUGUUAAUUUUAGUCCAUUUUUAUAUGUACAUACUAGUUGAUAUUAUUAUUAUUAUUCAAAUAAUACUGAAUAUAUAUUCGAUAUGUAGUCAAAUUUGGAAAAAUAUCCAAUUUGUAUAACAUAUCCAUAUCUGAAUUUAUAUCCGAAAAGAAAUUAUGGAUGCGGAUAUGGUUUCCACAAAUGCCCGUCCAUAUCCGAUCCGUUUUUAGCCCCACCCGAAUAAGGUGCCUCGCCUGGAUUCGGAUUCGGGCUGGGCGAAAAUGUGGGUUUUGUUUUAUUGGUUUUUAUACUGGGCUUGAUGGUUUUAUAUUGGACUUUGUUUCUCUCCCGCAAAAUCAAGUUGGGAAUUACGAGGCGGACCCGGAAUUGGAUCUCGGAGCCACAACAUACAAACCCGUUAAGGCUCCACCCAUGAGCUUUUGUUAAAGCGCCACCCAUGAGUUUUCGUUUAUCAUUGCCAAUAACACUUCAAAUCAGUAAAAGUUUAUUUAUAAUCAACGCAAAUCAUAUAGAUUUAUUUACAUUUCCAAACACAAAAUAACUUGCCACGCAAAGUAAAUGGCCAUCCAAUAAAGUAAUGUGUUUUUUUUAUUUUCCAAUAUUCAUAUGUUAAUGAGUAGAUAAUUUGUUUCUUUUUUUAUUUUCUUUUUAUUUUCUUGGGAGAUAUAUAUGUGUGUGUAAAAGCAUUUCUCAAGACUUUGUUUGGUUCGGAUAUAAAUAAGAACUGUCUAUUUUAGAAAUAGAUAUAAGUUCAGAUAUAAGUCUGGAAUAGACCAAUUUUACAUUUGAAUGAAAAUUGAGUUGCUUUCGAGAAUGAGAAAAGUAACGUUUGGAUCGAUAAAAUUGAAUAAGAAGAAUAGUAGAUAGUUAUAAAUAGAGAAUAAUGAUAUUGUACCUUAUAUUAUAUUUAAAUUUAAAUUUUUAAAUUUUAUAUUUAAAUUUUUAAAUUUAAAUAUCUAAUUUUAAAAUUUUAAAAUUUAAAUUUAAAUUUUUAAAUCUCAAAUUCAAAAUUUUAAAAUUCUAAAUUCUAAAUUUUAUAUUUAAGAUUAAAUCUAAAUUUAAAAAUUUAAAAUAUCAAUUUAAAAUUUAAAAUCUUGAAUUUAAAAUUAUAAAAUUUUAAUUUUAAAAUUACAAAUUAUAAAUUUUUAAUUUAAAAUAUAAAUAUAAAUAUUUAUAUUUAAAUUUUUAAAAAAUUACAUAGGAGUGAGAACAGCUAUUCCCACCCCUAUUCCCACACAAGGGGUGGGAUAGUUAUCCCACCCCCACUCUUUUCUUUUUUCUUUUUUUUUUUUUUUUNUUUUUUUUUUCUUCUUCUGUGUGUGUGUUUGGGGAUGGAGGGGAUAAGGGAUUAUCCCCCGCUUAUCCCCCAACCAAAUAAGGUGUAAAGUUUUUUUAGGUUUCUCAUAAUAUUAUCGGUUUUGAACCUGCCGCACAGCCAUCCAAGAUUUAUAGUAAUUUGAUUACACUCUUCAUCUAUUAAAAAAGACAUAUUUCUUAAGUAAUGCGAAAGAAUAUAUCAAAUAAAAUAUUAAUUUAUCUAAAUAAGAUCUGAAUGUUAAUGCAUCUAAAUUAGAUCUAAGUGUACAAAAUUAAACAUCAUAUUUCAAUCUAUCUAUACCGAAAACUUAGCAACUGCAAUCAAACAGUCACCUUAUUCCGUUCUCUUCUUCAAUCAUUCCUCCUUGACAAAUCAAAUUAAAUGCCCCUCUCCAUUUCUCUCCCUCUCCUCUUCUUCCCACAACAUGUUUGGAGGGGGACCAAAAAUACAUAAUAUUUUUAUCUUAAAAAAUUUAUAAAGUAAAUUAUAAUAAAAGUUUGUUAUAUAAGUCAUAAGCUAGCGUUUUAGGAAAAAAAAAUAUUUUGGCCCUAGAAUUCAUAAUAUUUUAUUGUUACUAUACCAUAAAUAGAAAUUUUUAUGUAAUUUUUAAAAAGUUGAGAGUGCCAUGGCCACUAUGAAUUACACAAACCCAUCUCCAAAAUUAUAUUUUAUUGGAACAAAAAGGAGGAGAUUCUUUGGCUUAUCCUAUAAACCUUCUCCUAAUCAACCUAAAGAAGGCCAAAUUGAGAAUAAAUUGAUUAUUCUCCCCCUGAUUAACCUCAUUUGCAAAAUUUGAUAUCCAAAAUCAAAUAUAAUUCACAAUCCAAGCUAAUAUUUAAUAUUUGAAUUUCAAAAGUCACGAUUCAAAUUAAAAUCGUAUAAUUGAAUUUCAACUCUCAACUCGAGUAAAAGUUAGAAUUUAUGUCUAAAAAUCGAUCUCAUGUUUCAAACUAAAUUUGAAGUUAAGCAUAAAUUCAAAACUAAAUCCAUAUUUUGAAAUAAAAUUUGUAUCCAAUUUAAUUUGCAAAUUGAACUUUAUAGGUCAAAUCUUAAUUUCUAAAUGCAAAUGAUGGAAUAGUUAGAUAUAUAUUGUUUUAACUUUGAUUUGUAAUUAAGGAGGUGUUUGUUAACGCAUGCAAAGUAUUAUACAUGCAAACUAUUGUAAUUAAGGAGGUGUUUAUUUCGCGGAAGGUGGAGAGGUGUGAAGUAAUUUUCAGCCUUAAAUACACACUUUUGUAUUCGGAUUUACUGUAACUUCGCCUUCGAUAUAAACUCAAACUUUUCAAAAAUAGUCUAAUUGGCUUCGGCCCGCCCUCAGAAAGUAAGAAAAAGGAGGAGAAAGAAACACAUAAUAAAAUGUUAAUAUGUCUCUCACGCCUUCAGCUUUUACGUCAUUAAUUUAUUAUCUAACAAAUAGCAAAACUAAUCCAAAUUAAUUUGUAUAUAGACUCUAGCUAGUUUAUUUUUCAAGUAUAUCCGAACUUAAAACUUUAUUUUCGAUGAAACAAACAAACAUAAAGGUGACAUAUAUUUGCUCCUCCUUGAGAGAGAGAGAAAGAGAGAUGGAAGACUAUAAUAACGUACCGGGCAUGCAAUUAUUUAAAAACUUAAUUAAGGACAGAAAAUUAGUAACUCGGUAGAGCUUGAUCCGGUUCUUAUAUCUAACGGCCACGUCCUGGGCAAGUCCCACAGACGUUGUUGGGAUCGUUGGAGCAGCAGGAAUGGCCAGGCUUCGGACUAUCGCGGCUGGCCAUCGUCGCGGACGCCUGGGUCGUUGCAGCAGUCAGAGACAUCGUUGAUCCGCCUCCUUCCUCGGUGAAGCGCUCCGGCGGUGUUGAAGGCCGCGGCAUGGCUGAGCUUGUUAUCAUCAUCGUCAUAGUCAUAAAGAAGAGGAGGAUAACGGCCUCCAGUAGUUUCGAGCUGCGGGCCAUCGCCGAGAGAAUGCGAACUGCGAGGAGGAGGAGAAGGAGGAGGAGGAGGAGGAGGAGGAGUGCCGAGGUAGGGAGGUAUUAAUAACUCAAUUGUUGGUGGGUGAUGUUAGUUUUCAAUAUUUAAAGGGAAAACUUCAAAAACCCCCACGUGGUUUCAAUUUUUUUCACUUUAGUACCUUUUGGUUUAAAAUGUAACAAGUUAGUACCUUGUGGUUUCUCACUUUAUCACUUUAAUAUCCUGUGGUUUAAAAUGUAUCAAAUUAGUACCCUGUGGUUUUGCACUUUAUCACUUUGGUACCCUAUAGUUUUAAUUUUGUAUCAAAUUAGUACCCUGUGGUUUUUUAAACCAUAGGGUACUAAAGUGAUAAAGUGUGAAACCAUAGGGUACUAAAGCGAUAAAGUACAAAACCACAUGGUACUAACUUGAUACACUUUAAACCACAGGGUACUAAAGUGAUAAAGUGAGAAACCACAGGGUACUAACUUGAUACACUUUAAACCACAGGGUACUAAAGUGAUAAAGUGAGAAACCACAGGGUACUAACUUGAUACAUUUUAAACCACAGGGUAUUAAAAUAAAAAAAGUGUGAAACCACAGGGGGGGUUUUUGAAAUUUUUCCAUAUUUAAAUGAAGAUAUGUGUGGGUAGAAUGAUUCUGAAUGAGUGAUUUGUUGAAUAGUAUAAUUUAGCGGAUGAAAAUAAUUAAAAGAGUAAGACCUAACCGCGAAAUNAAAUUGAGCUCCUAUGCUUUUAAAAGUAUCAAGUUAUUGGUGCUUGUAAAUUUUUAGCCAUUGAAUUAAGAAAUAUACGGUUAGGAUGAUAUGGGCCGACUAGGGUUGAGUGGGUGGUUGGUUGAAUAGUAUAAUCUAAUGGUUGAAAAUGAUCCGAGGAAUAGAUCUAUCGGUAAAAAACUUACAAGCACUAAGUGCUUGGUGCUUUUACAAGUACCAUAGCUGGACUAUAUAUAUAUAUAUAUAUAUAGAGCAAGACUGCUGUGCUCUCUGAGCCGUUUUCGAUGAUAGAGUUUCCGAAUCGACAAUCGGCUCCGUUAAAUUUGAUCUAGCGUAUUUGAAGUUUCUAAAAAAUAAUUUUUGCGAUUUUUCGAUAUCAUUUACCUAGUAAUCGAAAGGAUUCAAAAUCAAUAAUUUUUAACGGCUAAAAAUAAAAAUCCUAUAAAAAGUGAUAAUAUAGCACUAAAAUUUUUGAUUAGAAAUAUUAAUCUUGUUGUAGAUAGUAUAAAGAAUUUUGUAUCAAAAUUUCAUCUGAUUUGAAUACUUCUACAUCGUUAAACUUGAAAACGGCAGAUAUCAACCAUUAAAAAUUAUAAAUUUUGAAUCCUUUCGAUCACUAGGUAAAUGAUAUCAAAAAAUCGCAAAAAUUAUUUUCUAGAAACUUCAAAUGCGCUAGAUCGAGUCUAACGGAGCCGAUAGUCGAUUCCAAAAUUCAAUCAUCAAAAACAGCUCAGGAGCAUGGAGGCCUCGGUGCUCCUAAGAGCACAGCAGCCCUGCUCUAUAUAUAUAUAUAUAUAUAUAUAUAUAUAUAUGAAUGAAUGAGGCUAGUAUGCUUUUGGAAGCACAGAGCCUUCCGUGCUUUUAGGUUGUUUUUGAUGUUGCGACUUUCGAAUCGUCGAUCGGCUCUGCUAAACUCGAUCUAGAAUAUUUGAAAUACCUAGAAAAUAAUAUUUAUGAUUUUUGAUAUUAUUUGCCUAGUAAUCAAAGCCGCUCAAAAUCAAUAAUUUUAAUUACCGUAGUGAGCCGUUUGCAAGUUUAACAGUGCAGAAAUAUUCAAAUCACGUGAAAUUUUGAUAGAAAAUUCUUUAUACUAUAUAAAACAAGAUCAAUAUCUUUGAUCUAAAAUUUUAAUGUCAUAUUAUCACGUUUUGUAAGAUUUUUAUUUUCAGCCGUUGAUUUUGAGCCAUUUCGUUCACUAGGAAAAUAAUAUCGAAAAAUCGCAUAAUUUAUUUUCUAGGUACUUCAAAUACUUUAUAUCAAGUCUAAUGGAGCCGAUCGACGAUUCGAAAGUCGCAACAUGGAAAAUGACCUGGAAGCACAGAAGGCUCCGUGCUUUCAAAAGCAUAGUAGCCUCUCUCUCUCUCUCUCUCUCUCUCUCUCUCUCUCUCUCUNAUUGCAGACUUAGAAUCUUACUUUUACUCUUCAAAUGUAGUCGAACUGUAAAGUUCUUCUCUCUUUUGAGGGUGUAAUUUAAGUACAAUCCCAUGGUCGAGGAUUUUUGAACACGAAAGUGAUUUUGCUGCACAUCGGCGGAGGGAUUGCCAGAAAAGAUGGGAGGGAGACUCAGAGAGAGACAGAUGAGUGGAUGGUCCACAGCUGACAUGGUGGACUAAGUCCAAACAAGAUUGCUCAUGCCUGUGAGGCAGAAAAAGUAGCUGGUGGUGUGUUGUUUGUAGUUACUUUUUUUUUCCUUUUUUUUCUCUCUCUUUUUUCUUCUUUUUUUUUUUUUGUUUGGUGAAAUCCACAGGGUGAUGAUUACAAAGGAUGCAGCAAAAAGAAUAAAAAUGGAGAGCCACAGCUUUUUAGAUCUCUUUGUAUAGCCUGACUCAGUCACAUGAACCAACCAACUUUGGUGCCACACACACCUAAACAAACACAUUAAUAAGAUUAUCCUUAACGUAAAAAGUAUAAAAUUUAUCUAAAUUAUACACCAUUUUGAAUUAGUUGUUUAAUUUUUUAAAAUUUUAAUUUUACUGACUAAUCUUUUAAUUUUAUUGAAUUUGAGUCGGUCAACAGCACUUUAAUUUUAAAAUUUAAGUUAAUUACUUUACGAGAAUUACGUGAAGUAUCAACUUUUGAAGUCAAAGUAUUAUUGGCUGACUCAAAUCGAACAAAUUGCAAAAUUGAAUAGCAAAAUCAAAUUUUUUAUAAGUUGGAUAUAGUGAAUUCAAAAUGGUGUACGGUUUAGAUAACGUUUGGAUGUUUUUACCAAUCCUUAAUAAGACCAUAUGAUCUUUCACACAGUGUCUCUUUGUGUAUUCUUUUGACCUUUUAACUAGUGCAGUAAAAAAAGAUUUGAGGGCCCUAUUUUAUAUUGUCUUGUCCUUUUUUACUACUUAGAUCCUUGUUGUUUUUAUUUAAAAAAGUACUUGCUAUGGUACUAUUGGUUAAUUUAGGGUUGGAUGUGGUCCUUCUUUUUUUUUUUUUCUUUUUUUAAAUUAACAAUAAAACAACUAAACAGGGUUAAAAUUUAUUCACAUGUUAAUAGUGGAGCUGGGGAUUAUUAAGACUUUAUUAACAUUAUAUAUAGAGAGAGUUGAACUGAAAUAUUAUCAAUAGCAUUUGGACUCUUUUGCUAUCGAUUUUUUAGCCGUUAGAUCUACACUUUAAUCAAUUCCACCCUUUAAAUCAUAUUAUUCAACCAACCAGUCACUUAACCUUAGGGGGACCACUAUCAUCAUAAUCCUACAAUUUUUCAUAUAAUAGUUAAAAACUCGAUAGCAAAAGAGCCCAAAUACUAUUAAUAGUAUUCCAGCCCAAUUCUCUCUCUCUCUCUCUCUCUCUCUCUCUCUCUCUCUCUCUCUCUCUCUCUCUCUCUCUCUCUCUAUAUAUAUAUAUAUAUAUACUAGUUAAGUGCACGUGCAAUGCACGUCGCACAAAUAUUAAAAAAUAUAAUUUUUGUAAAUAAAUAUUAUAGAUUUGAUAUAUAGUAUUUAAUUAAAAAAUUUUAGAUGGUAUUAAAAUACGUCUUUAAUUAUAACGAAGGUGACGAACGCGACAAUGUUUCGGCACAGACAAUGAUGAUGAGUAGGACGAUGAUGAUGUACUUCGGUAACAAAUGAAAAUAUUUGAGAAAAAUAUAGAUAAAAAUAAAAAAAGGAUACUACUGAAAAAAUAUAUAUUCUUUACAUGUAAGAAACGUAUAGGUGAAAAUAAAAAAGUACUAAAAAAGAUAUGCUAACAGAAAAGGUAUGAUGUAUAUAUUGUGUGAAAAAUAUUAUAAUGAGAUAAGAUUAGUUAGCGUAGAUAUUAUAUGCAAGGGUAUUAAGAUAUAUUCUAUAUUUGAGAAUGCGGAGAAUAUUUUAGUGUGUAUUAUUUAAACAUUGAAUAUUUUGCUAAAAAAAUUUAAAAUUAUAUUUAAUUAACGAUUUAGUUUUGGUUGGACAAAUACAAUUUUUUAGAAAUAUUCUAUACUUUUAUGACGCAUUAUUUAAAUAUUGAAUAUUUUGCUAAAAAUAUUUAAAAUUAUAUUUAAUUAACGAUUUAGUUUUGAUUUGGAGGUAUUAAAUUUUUUUAGCAAUAUUUAACACUUCUAUGGCGCGCCAAAUUUUAAUACUCGUCAAAAUUAAAUCUACUAUUUUAUGUAAGGAAAAAUCUACUAUCUACUAUCAUGAAUUAAAAUUCAAAUUAUCAAAUUUACGGGUAUUAAAUUUUGGCAGGCAUUACAAAUUUAAAAUUUAAUUUUCGUAGAUAUUACGUUUGAGAAAAAAAAUAUUUGAGAAAACACUGAAAUAAAUUUAGCAGAGGUAUUACGUGAUUGACGGGUAUUACGUUAGAUAAGAAAUAAAUUUAGUUAUAGAAAAAAAUAUUUGAGUAACGUAGAUAAUAGAUAACGGAUAUGAAUAAUAUUUUUGUCAACAAAAAUGACAGAUACUUUUAUUUUUAUUCAUUGAAUAAGAUCCAAUGGCGAAAACUUAAGAUCUAUAUUUGAGAAUAAAUUAUUAUUUGAAGAUUUAUUUAAAAUGGAUAAAAUAUAUUUUAUAUUUGAGAACGCAGAGAAUAUUUUGGUGGGUAUUAUUUAAAUAUUGAAUAUUUUGCUAAAAAUAUUUAAAAUUAUAUUUAAUUAACGAUUUAGUUUUUUUUGGGCGGGUAUUAAUUAUUUUUAGUGAUUAGCAGAGGUAUUACGUGAUUGGCGGGUAUUACGUUAGGUUAGAUAAGAGAUAAGUUUAGUUUUACGUAUUACAUUGGUAGGUAGAAAAAAAAAAUUUUGAGAAACGCGGCGUAGAUGGGAGAUAACGACAGAUAUGUAGGGUAUUUUUGUCAACAAAAAUGACAGAUACUUUUAUUUUUAUUCAUUGGAUGAGAUCCAAUGGCGAAAACUUAAGAUCUAUAUUUGAGGAUAAAUUAUUAUUUAAAGAUUUAUUUAAAAUGGAUGGUUGAAAAUUAUUGGGCAUGACAAUAUUAGUAAAAAAGAUAGAGACAUUUUUGAAAAGAGGAAAAAUUCAAAACUCAUGCUUUUAUAAGUAGUAUAGAUAUAGAGCUGAGCUAGAAUACUAUCGGUAGUAAACGAGCCGUUUUACUACUGAUUUGUUUUCGAUGAUAGAACUUCCAAAUUAACGAUCGGCUCCGUUGAACAUGAUCUAUACCACUUGAAGUGUUUAGAAAUCAAAUUUCAAAUCUUUCGACAUCAUUUGCCUAAUGAUCAAAGGGUUUCAAAAUUUGUAAUUUUAAUGGUCGAUAAGAGGUGUUUUCUCGUUUAACGGCGUAAAGAUAUCCAAAUCAAUUGAAGUUUUGUUAGAAAAUUCUUUAAACUAUUUAAAACAAGAUCUAUACUCUUGAUCUUGAUUACAAGACUCCUAUCAUCAUUUUUUAAAGAGUAUUCAUUUUCAGCCAUUCAUUUUUCUGUUCACUUGAUGGAUAAAAAGAAAAUAUCGAAAGUACGUAAAUUUGAUUUCUAGGUAGUUUAAAUGGUUUAGAUCAUAUUAUAACGGAGCCGAUCGUCAAUUUGGAAGCUCUAUCAUCGAAAACAAAUCGGUAGUAAAACGGCUCGUUACUACCGAUAUAUUCUAGCUCAACUAUAUAUAUAUAUAUAUAUAUAUAUAUAUAUAUAUAUAUAAAGAAAGAGAGAGUUGGACUUGUGGGCCAUCGGCGUACGGAGGCCUUCGUACUUCUAAAGCCGUUAGACUUGAUCUAGCGUAUUUCAAGUAUCUAGAAAAUAAAUAUUGCGGUCUUUUAAUGUUAUUUACCUAAUGAUCGAAAGGGUUCAAAAUCAAUAAUUUUUAAUGGUUGAUGUGUGCUGUUUGCAAGUUUAACGACGUAAGAAUAUUCAAAUCAAUGAAACUUUGAUAGAAAAUUUCUUAUACUAUCUACAGUAAGAUUAAUAUCUCUGAUCUAAAAUUUUAGUAUUACAUGCAUUAAAAUUUUUUGUAAAAUUUUUAUUUUCAACCAUCUAUUGUCUUUUCAAUCACUAGGUAAAUAAUAAUGAAAAAUUACAAAAUUUAUUUUCUAGAUAUUUUAAAUAGUUAGAUUAAGUCUAACAGAGCCGAUCCGUUCAUCAAUACGAAAAUUUUAUCAUCGAAAACGAUUUAGAAGCACGAAUAUCUCUAUGCAUCUAAUAGUAUACAUUAUACAAGUCCUACUAGAGAGAGAGAGAGAGAGAGCACUUUAGGACACACGCACAAAACCUUCUAAUCCUUCUCUGCGGUUUUGUGUCUCCGCGUUUGUACUCUUUUGGAAAGUUCCCAAAGAAUACAAGCAUAACAUUUUAUAAUUUUAUUCCUAUUGCAGGUGGAAAAGGGACCUCCAAAUGGUCUAAUGAAUCUCAGUUUUCUCUCGAAAAGAGAACUCUUUAUUCUGCUUUAACGAUUCCCACCACUAGAUUGAAAAGCAACUUUUUCCUCUCCACUUAUAUAAUUAGAUGAAUAAAGUUUUGUCUUGCUUUGACGAUUCCGUCCCUGCAGAAGGAACCGGGCAAUUACUAGAUCUUAGUUUAAUGAUUCACAAGACACGCAGUCAGCAAACAACUUGACGGGGACAGGAAUUUCUUCCUUUCCACAGAAUUAGACGUGAAGCCGGUUCGGUUUUCCGGACUGGUUACAGUUCUUUUGUCCCGAAAAUGUAAACUGGUCGUCGUAUCGGUCCUACCGAAUGCUGGCUUUUCAUUUCGAUUUUAAACCGGUAUCACAAACCAGCGGGUCGGUGGCGGAUAACAGUGUGUCCAAGACUGUGAGUGAAGGGAAAGAGAUUUCGAAAUUCCAAACUCAAGUUUCUCUCUACCAAAGGUAAACCGUAUAUAUAUGUUGAACCCAAUAGAACCGAACCGAACCAUAACAUUUAGUUUUUACUGUUAUAUGAACCUGAACUAAAACUGUUCUGAAAAACAAACCUUUUUUCAUGGUUCGGUCUGUCCAAUUUGAUUUCUGCCAAGAAGAUUAUUGCAUAAUAAGUUCCUCUUUUUUUUUUGUUCUUCAUCUUUCUCGGUCCGACAUAACACAACACGGCAUUCUCAUAUUCUCUCCACUAUUAAAAUUGUCACUCAAAAAUAAGAAACAUUAUUUUCCUCCGUCGGCACUAUUUUUUUUUGCCUUUUUUUUUAAGUCUUUUUAAACUCCUCUCUAUCCUUAUUGACGUUCGAGUUCGGAUUCUUUUGGUCGCAAAAAGUUCAGAUUAAUUCUUUCACUCUCAAAAAAGUUUAUUCUCUCUCAAUAGGUCAAAAGUCACAAAGUGCUCUUGUUAUUAAGUAAAUAGAACAAGAUAAGGUAAUUUAUUACUCUUCGCCACUUGCCGUGAUAUCAUUUGGUCACUAUAUUUUGCUAAGAGCAAUACUAGUCAUACACUCUUAAAAGGAAUGUUCCAUGUGCAGCUUCUCCUAUUUAAUGCAUGAAAGUAUUUUAUUUGUCACAUCUUAUCAGAUCAUGUGACAAAUUUCAUUUAGAAUGUAUACAUCCCGAACAGUAUGUAUAAGUAGUAUUUAUUUUUUGCUAAUUGAAUGUGUACAACGAGUUGGUUUCUGUUAGAACUAUAUAUGCUAAUUAUUUUACGAACACCUCAAAUAUUUGUAUUUUGACCUUAAGAUCUAAACGUAUAUCUGACAUGCAAUUUGUUGCCGCUAAGUCAUACAUAGUCUAGCCGUGGUUUAGAAGCACGAAGGCUUUGGUGAUCUUAAAUUAUUUUUGAUAAUGAAGCUUCUGAAUCAUUGAUCACUACAACAAAAAUGAUUUAUAGCGAUACUUUUAAAUAUUGGCAUAUGUAAAAAAAAAUGCUGCUGGCUAAAUUACCGAUACUUUUUAAAAGUUUUGCUAUAUGUACGGUCAUUAUAUGUAGGACCGCCUUGAUAUUUGACACCCACUUUUUCAGCAAUCUGUGGCGGAGGAAAACGUGGUGAUCGUAGCCCUUUACAGUCCUUGCGAGAUUCUUGCAGCCGAACUCCAACUGUCGGAACCCUAUCGCGGCGGAGGAGGAGAAUGAAAGAUGGUGAUCCAUUUUUCUUUGUUUUUUUUUCUCUAUUUGUAAUCGGGCUGAGUGGGCUGGAUGAGGUUGGUUGAGUAGAAGAACUUUUUGUUUUUGAUUGAAUUGGGUUUUAUAUUUAGGCCCUAAUAGAUUUUUUGAAAAAAAAUUGGCAAAAAUGGAAUAGUUACACAAAAGUAUUCCAAAAAUGUGUUCCUAUAAUUUAAUUCUGUUGUAGUGGAUUAACUACGUUAAAUUUAAUCUAUAUUAUAUGAUGUAUGUAGAAAAUAAAUUUAACAAUUUUUCGAUCAUUUACCUAAUUAUCCUAAACGAUUCAAAAUCAAUGGCCGAAAAUAAAAUCUUACAAAAAGUUAUGAUACUAAGCUAAAAUUUUAGAUUAGAUAUGUUAAUCUUUUUUAGAUAAUAUAAAAAAGUUUCAAUCAAAAUUUUAUGUGAAUUUGAUAUUUCUAUAUGGUUAAACUUGAAAACGGCUCAAAUCAACUAUUAAAAUUAUUAAUUUAUUGGUUAUAAGGUUAUUCAUGAGAGGGGAAAAAUCAUAUGAAAAUUAAAAUUUAAAAAUAAAAUUUAUAAUUUAAAUUUAAAUUUACUAUACAAAUUUCUAAUCAAAAUAUGAAUUCAAAUUUGAACUAACAAAUUGAACUUAAAAUUUAAAAUUGCAAAAGAAAUUCAAGUCCAAAGUCAAAGUUUAAAUUUAUAACUAAAUUCAAAUAUCAGACUUAUAUUAGAAUUUUAAUUUGGAAUAAAGAAUUUCAAUAUUAAAAUACGAAUACAUAAUUUAAAUUCAAAUUUAAAAUUAUAAUUUAUUCUUAAAUUAAUUAUAAAUUAAUUAAUAUUUAAAUUUCAACAAUUGUUAGUAAUCAAAAAAAAAAAAAGGAAGAAAGGAGUUCUUUUCUUAAACUCUUAUAGAAUUAAAGCCCAAUAAGGUGGGAAUCAUUUUGGGAGGAUUCAGUUCGCGAAUCACAAUGCCGUGUAGGGAUGUGAAGGGGUAUGGAUAUCCGAAAUAUUAUCCGAAUCCGAACCCGAACGGGACGGAUUUAUCCAAACUAAACAGAUAUAGAUUCGGUUAUGGGUAUAAAAAAUAAAAAUCUAACGAAUAUGGAUACGAUUAUAGAUUUUGUAUUUACCUAACCCGAACCCGAACCUGAACCCGAAUAAAUUAUAUAUAUAUAUAAUUUAUUUUUAUUUAUUUAUAUAAUAAAUAAAAUAUUUAAUAAUUUUUAUCUUUUAGAUCAUCCUCUAAUAGAAUGGAUUUUUAAAAUCCACCGGGUUCGGGUUUCGAAUUUUUGAUCGGAUAUGAAUAUGAGUAUGAAUUUUUAAAACCCGCCGGGUUCGGGGACAGGUUCGGAUUUUAAUUUGAUUUUCGAAUUCGGGUUCGAAUUUUUAAAAAUUGACCCAAAUCCGACCUAUUGACAUCCCUAAUUCUGCGCACAAUGGUUCAUUCCGACUUUCAUUUCAAACCUUAAAUCAGUCAAACCAAACAUUUUCUGUAUAUGAUAAAAACUGCAGUAUAGCGACAUCUGCAACAAACAGUCCCUUUAUUCCCUCACCCUUUUUUCAAUCUCUCCAUCUCCACUCCAAUUCAUUCAUUCGCUCUCUUGUGCUUUUUCGAGAUAAUCAAAUUAAUCCACUCGAGCCCUACAGUACCCAUUCACUCCUUUAUUCUCUUGUACUUUUUUCAGAUAAUUAAAUUAACUCACUUCGAGCACUAAACAUCACUCGUUCACUCAUCCAUUCAUUUAUUCUCUUGUGCUUCUUUCAGGUAAUUAAAUUAACUUGAGCACUAGAUCACUCAUUCACUCAUUCAUUCGUAUGUUAUCUUGUGCUUUUUUCAGGUAAUUAAACUAAUUCACUCGUGCGUUUGGAUGAAAAUUGAAUUGUUUCUAGGAAUAAGAUGAAUAAUGUUUGGAUGGUUAAAUUAGAACAAGAGAAAUAUGAGUUAUAGUUUUAAAUUAAAAUUAUUUUAUCUAAUUAAUUAAUAUCAAAAUAUUAAUUAAAAUAUAAAUUUAAUUAAUUAUUUUGAAAAUUUUCUUUGUUCUCGAAUCAAACACUGCCUAAAAGCGUAUAAACACAAAUAGCUAUUCCAAAACCAUGAAUUGUUAGAAAUACGUAGCUAAUUUAUUUAAAGCGUACAGAUACAAUGCUCACAGGUCUCGAUUAUGACUCAGCCCAACCAACUUUAUGUACUUCAAACAUGAUACGGUCCAAUCUAGCCUCAUGCCAUUUCGAAUAUGACUCGGCCCAAUCUUGCCUCGCGUCACACGAUAGGAUCCUGGUUGAUUUAAGCCAACAAUUUUCCCUUCAGCACCUGCAUAAAUUCGCAGAAUGCAAGACGUGCUAGCUUUUCGAAUAAUUGGUUACGCUUAUGAUCCACAGUAAAUAUUCAAAUUUUAUCACUUUAUAUAUGCGGUAGUAUAUAUAUAUAUAUAUAUAUAUAUAGUGAGGCUACUAUGCUAUCGGAAGCACGGAGCCUUCCGUGCUUCCAGCUCGUUUUUAAUGUUGCGACUUUCGAAUCGUCAAUCGGCUCCGUUAAACUUGAUCUAGACUAUUUGAAGUAUCUAGAAAAUAAAUUUCAUGAUUUAACGAUAUCAUUUGCCUAGAGAACGAAGGGGCUCAAAAUCAACAGCUGAAAAUAAAAAUCUUACAAAAUGUAAUAAUAUGACAUUAAAAUUUUAAAUCAAAGAUAUUGAUCUUGUUUUAUAUAGUAUAAAAAAUUUUCUAUCAAAAUUUCACGUGAUUUGGAUAUUUCUACACCGUUAAACUUGCAAACGGCUCACUACGGCCAUUGAAAUUUGUUGAUUUUGAGCCCAUUCGAUCACUAGGCAAAUGAUAUCGAAAAAUAAUAAAAUUUAUUUUCUAGGUACUCCAAAUACUCUAGAUCAAGUUUAACGGAGCCGAUUGACGAUUCGAAAAUCGCAACAUCGAAAAUGAGCUGGAAGCACGGAAGGCUCCGUGCUUCCGAUAGCAUAGUAGCCUCACUCUAUAUAUAUAUAUAUAUAUAUAUAUAUAUAUUUUUUAAACCUUAUUAGGGAGAUAAACUUAUCUUUUGUUUAAAAUUACUUUUUUUCUUAUACAGAUCCCAGGGCUAGUUUUUUCUAGUUUGUCACAUUUUUUUAAAGGUUAAUUUUGUAUAGAUUCUUUCAAAUAUAGUGAAUUGUAAAUAUAUUCUUACAAAGUUCUUUAUAAAAGUCCUAAUAUUUUCAAAUAUAUCACUAUGGUUUGCUACCGUUAAAGCACUGUUUAUUUUAUAAGAAAAAUGACCUUUUUGCCAUCACAAAUAUGUCUUUCCAAAAGUCCCAACUGUUAAUUGAAGAUGGGUAAAAAAGUCAAUUCACCUCAUUAACUAACUAGGGUUGUGUAUUUUUGUAGUAUCGCUGAUGUUUGGUUACCAGUGAGAUUUCAGCAUCUGAGGUUUGUUGAUACAUUUAGAGAGUAUCGGGACAAGUCGAAGUCAUUUUUGGCGAAAUGAACGCAAAACGGACUUAGUGCGACGCUAGAGCAGUGUAUUGACAUUGGAAUCUGCAAAGUGCAGGUUUUCAGUAUUGAGUACCGGUACCAUGCAAGGGAGUACCAGUACCCCGGUCUAUUUCCAGAACAGUCUGCUCUCGAGUUGUGCCUAUUUGAUGCUGAGUACCGGUAUAGUAUCGGGCUGGUACCGAUACCCAGUGCGUGAGUGUGCGAGCUGAGAGACCAAAUACCGGUAACUAAAUCGGGUACCGAUACUCCAGCUAGAAUUUUGAGUUUGUGAGGGGCCUUUUGGUCAUUUGACGCGUCGUUGCUUUCAACCUUAUCCCCACCGCUUUAUAUAGGUGUAGAGAGGCAGAGGAUGAGUUUCUGGUUGUAGCUUCCUCUCUCUCUCUAGUUUUUGAUCGUGUGCUCGGUGGAGGCCGUGGCUCGAGCUUGGGAGAUUUUCGACGUCGAUUUGGAGGGCCGUUCGAGCGUGCGUGCGUUGCGGUUGUGUUGUUGGAGGCCGGGCGAACGCGUGGUUUCCUCUUCUUUCAACUUCUUGCCGUAGUUGAAGAAACUUUUUGAGGUAGGUUGAAGUUUAUCGAAAUCGUCGGAUUUCCUCCUAAGCCUAGAUUUUUGUCAGCAUGUAAACUUCCUGUGUAGUAUCAUGUUAAUAGUUCAAUUCACCGAUUCGCCUUGCUUUAAUGAAAUCUGAGUUUGAACUUUGAAUUCUAGAUUCGUUUUACAUGUUGGACUUGAAAAUUGACUUAGGAGAAAACUAGUGAACCCUACACUGUCAUUUUCUGAAAAUUACCAGAUUUAGCUUUAGGAGCUGUGGUUCUUUUGUAUCGUCGCUGUUAGUAUGUGAUGAAUACUCAGAUUAGUGUAGAAUGAGUUUACGCUCGUAUUGGGAUGCCGAAAUUAUUUUACAGUAGUGUGUAGACUGUUUUGGACUGUCGAGUGACAUCGCAGAUGACGGUGAAUCCAGAUUGCUGUUUUUGCAUCAGUUGUGCCAAGAGCAUAUGAGUUUUGGUUGUAGGACCAGCUAGACCCAUUUGCUUUGAUUAUAGCCUGUGAGAGCCUGAUUGAGCUCGAUAGAGAGACACGCUUGCAUACUCGGUUGGGUAGCACCCAUGAGUGCCACUACGGAGUCGGGCUUUGUGCUUUUGCGUUGAUGUUGUAGUGACUAGAUUAAACUUGCUCUCCACCAACAACCCAGCGUGGUGGUGGUUGGUGUAAUUUCGACAGGUGAGACGAGUGCGUUCACAGUCCCUGGUGAGAUUGGGUAGAGAGUGCAUUUCUAUAUCUACAGAUAGUAGUUAGCGAUAGUAUAGUGGCAUAUAGUUGUAGAGUUUUACCAGCAUCCUUUACUAUCCUUAUACAUACUUUCUAUAGACUUAGUGGGUGAGCCGUUGAGGUCGGUAACGGUACCCACUGAGAACUGCUUCCUUUUGCAGUAGUUCUCACAUCUAGUUGUUGGCCUCUUUUUGCAAAGCCUUCUUCUGCGGCUGCUGCUUUCGCCGAUACUGAUCGUGGAAAGGGAGUCGCGAACUAGAUCCCUUCCCGGGUUGCAAUACUAGAGGAGUACCAUUUACAGGUAGUUUUGGGGUAUUUUGGUUCAUGUACAUACUUAUGCUGAUUUACUCGCUGGAGCGAGUGAUGUCUGUGUCUUGGAGACUUCGUAUGUAUAGUAAACCUGAUGUUUAUUAUAUAUGUUUUCAGUUCUGUUUAGCAUCUCUAUACUACUACUUGUAGUUUUGUAUGAUUACAGGUACAGCUAUCGCUUCGUAUACCGGAAAAGUCCUAUGUAUACAGUGGGUCUGUCGGCGUACCCGGGGAAACGGGUAAUCUGGGACGUGACAAUUUUACCUACGAUUAACUAAUUUUUUAUAACGGAUCUUAACGUAUGGACAUAUUUGAAAAUAUUAGGACUUUUAUAGAAACAUCUUUUAAUCAUGAUUAACUUUUUUUAACCAUGAUUAUCUAUAUUUUUAUAAUAAAAGGAUAUAUUUGGAGACGAGAGAAUUUUUGGAAGGACAAAUAUGAUCACUUAAUAAGAAUUUAUUUAUUAAUAGUUAAUAAUUAAUGAAGUUAUUAAAUUUGGUAGAUUUUUUAAUUAAAAUAUAUAAAUUGCAAUAAGAAAUUAGAGGUUAAAGUGGUGUCAAAAGAAAAAAAUUGAAGUUGAGGGGUCUGUCAAGAUUGCCUAUGGUUGAGGGGGUCUCCAUGCAUUUUACCUUUCAAAAUUAAAUUAUUUUAGUUAUUUUAGUUGAAACGUUUUGUUAAAUUUAAUAAAAUUCCUUUUUAUUACCUAAUUUCAAGAAACUAAACACUUUCGAGAAACUAAAAGUUAAGGGGUCUUAAGCAAAAACUGCAAAGCUGAGGGAAUUAUUUAAAAAUAGAAUACUGUUGAUGGAUCUCCAGUACAUCAUAGGGUCCCAAAUAGUAUCAAACAAUUAGAGAUAAAUUUUUUUUAUUAUUACUUAAUCCUUUAUUUAACUACGAUGAAGUGACGUUAUUUUAACAAUAGAGGCAUUCACGAUUAUUGUUUAUAUUUUAAAAUGCGUGCAUGACACUUAAAUUUUUGUUGGAGUAUCUACAAAAUUUAUAAAUUUUAGAGGGAUAAUGAUGAAUUUUUUUUUUUAUUUUAUCAUCCUGUAUUUGAAACGAAGUGUUUUGCUAUUCUAUGAAUUUAUUAUUAAAAUUAUAAUUUUGUUUUGCCAUAAGGACAUGCAGCUAAAGAGAAUAGUAAAAUGUUAUAUUUUUUAAACAAUAUGAUGAUAAAGGAAAAGGUAUAGGCUAAUUACAUACUACAUUUUAUAAUCUUAUGGUUUAUAAAAAUUGCACUUUAUCGUUCUAUGGUUAUAAAUAAUAUGAUAUUAAUAACUUAUUUAACAGUAUAUACUUACAAUAAAAUAAAAAUAAAAAUUAAGAAUAUCAAAUUAAAACUUUCUAAGCCACAUAGCAUGCAUGUUUUUUUUCUUGCUUUUGUAAAUAAGAUUAUGUAUAUCAAAAGGUGUAGAAGUGAAGAAUAAAUUACUAGUAAUUCUUUCAUCCAAAAUAUUUACGUGAUAAUUAAAAAGUUUAUAAUGAAGAUUAGCCCUCUUAAUAUAUCACUUGUUAUACUUAAUCUCCAAAAUAAAUAAAAUAUGCACUUAAUCCUCUUUAAUAGGUUAGAAAUAUAUGAGAGGGUUACAACUAGAGGUGAAACUGAGCCAGGCUUGAGUCGGAUUAUAGUAUACCCUAGCCCGGCUCAAAAAAUUAUUGGGCUUUGGGUCGGACUUAUAUCCAACUUUUACAAAAUUGAGGUCCGGCCCAGGCCCAAGCCUAAUGUGCACAUUGAUCGGGCUUUGUGGAGGCCCACUUUAUGCAUUUGUCACAUAGUGCACAUAUUUUUUAUUGUACAAAAAUAAAAUAAAAAUAAAAUAUCCUCGUAUGAAUAAAUAAUAUAUAUUCUUAAUAUAUAAUAGAUUUUAUGUAUAUCUAUAAAUUUUCAUAAAAACCCGUUUUCUUUUAUCCACGUGACGAUAUUAGCUUAAUUUGAAUUUUUGUGAGCCUUACCUGUCAUCUUAAAUUAUUCUACUUAAUUGUUGAUUUGUGGGGUUUACCUGAGAAUUUUUUUUUCCCUUCUCUUCUUUCCAUUUAAUUUCUUCAACAGCUCACCCUCUAGAUGCCGAUGCCGCUCGCCCCUCUAGAUGUCGCUUUGGCUCCUGAUGUGCCCUCCUGCACGUAAAAAUGGGCCUAGUUCGUUGUCGUUCUUCCUUCCCGACCGUUAUCUCCUUCCCAUUUAGUUGGUUCAGCCGAUCCCAUUUAAUUGGUUCAACAAACAUGUUUGUCUUCCAAGCGAUGCUGCUCGCCCCCUGGAUGCCCCGCUCCGGCUCUUGCUGUGCCUUCUUUGGACGGAAUAUUGGGCCGAGUUCAUGAUCGGCCCUUCUUCCCGUUGUGCUGUUCCGUUAGCGACGCUUCAUUUCAGCUUAUUGAUCCCCUCCGGCCACGAAAAUAGUUCGGAUUCAUUCUUCAUGCUCCCUUCUUGCUGCCUAUAUAGUAUGCCUUCUUAAAAAUUUUAUGUGUGGCGAAAAUCUCUAUUUCUGCUGGUGAUUUUUUCUUCUCUGAUUUGGUUUCAAUUUUUUUUUUUGUUUGAAUUUCAAUUUGGUUUUUUAUUACUUUUUUUGAAAAAACUGAAUAAUUUUAUUUGGUCUCGGGAAAUUGCCUACCUAUGUACGUUUGAUUUGCGAGUGAUUGCCUAAGAAUUGUAAGUUUUCUGAUUUAAUUUUGAUGUAUAUACUAAUUUUUUUGCCUUCCAGUUUGUUGCUGCGAAUAAUUUAAUAAUGGAAAAACUUCAAAAACCCCUCCUGUAGUUUCGUAGUUUCUCACUUUGCCCCCUGUGGUUUAAAAUGUAUCAAUUUGCCCCCAUGUGGUUCGUUUUUAUCUUUUUGGUAGCUUUUUCGUUAAUAUUUCAUUAAAUUAUAUACAAAAAACUUCAGAUAUCCAUUUAGAUUUAUCAAAUAUUCACUUUAGUACCCUUUAAUUUUAACUUUAUCACUGAUUUAAAAAAAAAGAAAUAAUGAAAUUGAUAAGAAAAAGAGAAAAAAAAAACCAUAGGGGAGCAAAUUGAUAUAUUUUAAACCACAGGGGCACGAAGUGAGAAACGACGGAACCACGUGGGGUUUUUUUUGAAGUUUUCCCUUUAAUAAUUUAUUUCUUUCUCCGGUGCAGGAGUUUGCUUCGGGAGGAUCGGAUUGAGCAGGCGAAAGAGUUGGAAGCGGCGCUGAAUGGCGUAGAAGAGGGCCCUUCUCCAUGCAAGGGAAGUGUUGAUAGAUAUUUCUUUAGCUCUUUAUUGAUCUACUAAAGAAAAGUUUUCUUAGCAUUAUCAACAUUACAAGGUAUAGUAAUUAUUUUCUUAAUUAAAGAAUAUUUAGUGCAUAGGUAAUAGGAUCAAAGCAAGUAAGAAGUCACGCAUAGCAGAUGUUUGUUAUUUGGCUAAAUUAUAUAAAACCCUCCUAUCAAAAUUUAAUUUUUUACUUUUUUUCCUGUCAUUUAAAAACCUACACUUUGUCCCCUUGUAAAAUAAAAAAUAUUCACUUUGCCCCCUACCGUCAGUAAUCCGUUAGUAUUCCGUUUAUAAAAUAUUAUUAUAUAUUUUUUUAUGCCGAAAAUAUUCUUAACCUUCUUUUCUGUGAAUAUGGUGAGAGGCAAAAUGGUGAGGGACAAAAUGGUCAUUUUAUCAUCACAAUUCACACCGUAAUUCUCUGUGA
This 59457-nucleotide long non-coding RNA is filed under the name Ananas comosus (pineapple). RNAcentral's name for it is "long non-coding RNA (ACOM_LNC006757)". The record is from RNAcentral. Lineage: Eukaryota; Viridiplantae; Streptophyta; Magnoliopsida; Poales; Bromeliaceae.